This 83132-nucleotide long non-coding RNA is filed under the name Theobroma cacao (cacao). RNAcentral describes it as "long non-coding RNA (TCAC_LNC006070)". The stretch from base 31623 to 31729 matches the Rfam family "Plant small nucleolar RNA R71". Lineage: Eukaryota; Viridiplantae; Streptophyta; Magnoliopsida; Malvales; Malvaceae. The record is from RNAcentral.
GGAGAGAGCGAAAACCUAGAGGGAAAAAGAAUAAUCUAGAAGCAUAUCAAUCAAAAAGACCAAAAUAACAUGACAAACAAAACCAAAAAGAAAAAAAAAAAAAAAAAAAAAAAAAAAAAAAAAAAAAAAAAAAAAAAAAAAAAAAAAAAAAAAAAAAAAAAAAAAAAAAAAAAAAAAAAAAAAAAAAAAAAAAAAAAAAAAAAAAAAAAACCUUGCAGAGGGCUCAAUUGAAUGACAAAUUUCCAUUUUAACUCACUUUUAGUAGUACAGAGUAUAUGUCCAAGUCAAUUGCGCAUGAUGAAAAGACACAAUAUUUUGUUGAUAAAUUAAUUUUGUACAUAAACAAAUAAAUUUAAUAGUAUUUGAAGAAAAUUAUACUUUUAAAACUCAACAAAUAAUNCAUAACUAGAAGAACAUAAAUAAUAAUAAUAAACAUUUAAUUUAUAUUUUAAAACUUUUAAAUAUGAUAUAUUUACAUGUGAUAGGUAAUUUUUACUAAAAAGAAAAUUGAAACUACUACUAUUUACCUAAUUUUGUUAAAAUAUUUAUUAAUUGCAUUCACCUCUAUGGUUUUUUAUUAUGUUUGUUGAAUUAAAUCUUUAUUGUUUAAAAUAAUUUGUCAUACAAAGUGUAAUAAUUAAUGAUAUUCUUAAUUACUAUGAUUAUUGUAGUAUAAUUUGAUAUGUAAACAAAGAAAUACCACAUAAAAUAACAAAAUAUAUUUGUUAUAAAUCAAUUAAGAUAUGACUUAAUUAUACUAAAAAUUGUAUUUAUUUGUAAAAAUCAGUAAAAUCAAGUAUAAAAUAAUUAAGAUAGACAAUUUAUCUUAUUUGCGAAAUGAAUGAAACAAAUAAAAAUAUAUUUACUUUAUUUUUCAGUUUAACUUUUAACCUGUUUUACCAAUUUCUUUGUUUUUUUUUUAAAUUUAUUCUUUUUCUAUUUCUCUUAAGAUAUUUUAUGACUUUAUUUUAUGGUCAAUAUUUUUGUAAUCUUACUUUAAAUAUACCCAUUUGCUUCCACUAAGUGCAUGCUUGGUCAUUCCCUCCGAUUCUCAUCUCUUUUAAGUAUUUUUUAAUUCUAUUUACUUUCAUUAUAUGAACCAAAUUACUUAAUAAAUAUUUUUGUUUUAUUUUAUUUUCAAGAAAUAACUAUUCAAUUUUCUCUCUAUUUCAUUCCGAGAACCAAACAUACAUCAGAAUUUAAAAAUAAAUCCUGGAUCUAUCCCUAACCUGGUAUAGGAAAUUUUGAAUGGGGAGAACUAGGAACAAGGAACGAGGAAAGGCCCAGAUUCAUUCUGAAGUUUGUGAAAUUGUUCUCCCAAGCUUUUCCCAGCCUUAAAAGUGAACGUAAAGAAUUAAUUUCUUCAGGUGUGAAAUAUGUCAAUAUAUAUAUAUAUAUUGACAAAGACAAAGAUUGAAGCAUAUGUCAAAUGUUAAUCAUUCUGUCGUCAGCAAGAUUGAAGCAUUGAAGCAAUCUUCCGAGGCGUGGAAGGCAACUUAUAAGACAGAAAGGUUGCUUGAACUAUUUUCCAAGCCAACUAUGAAAUUGCAGUUACUAUAAAUCCCAAGCUCAAGGGUAAGAAGAACAAAUUCCUGUGAGCUACAACCGGCAAACCAGUUCUUUCGCAAAUCACAGAAUCCCAGCAUUAAUGGACAAGGGUAAGAAGAAAUUGGCUGUUCUGGUUGGAUGCAAUUACCCCAACACCAAGCACGAGUUGCAUGGUUGCAUAAAUGAUGUGGUAGCCAUGAGAGAGGUGCUUGUUGAAAGAUUUGGGUUCGAUCCUAGCCAUGUUAAGCUCCUGACUGAUGCACCAGGGUCCUUGGUUAUGCCUACAGGUGCAAACAUGAAGGCUGCACUUAAUGAGAUGGUGAACAAGGCUGAGGCAGGCGAUGUCUUGUUUUUCCACUAUAGUGGACAUGGAACGAGAAUUCCAUCCUUGAAACCUGUCAAUCAUUUCAGGCAGGAUGAAGCAAUCGUGCCUUGUGAUUUCAAUCUCAUUACGGGUAAUUAAACCUUUUCCUUUGUGUUGGCUAUUUAUAUAGAGAAGAAAUCAAAUUAUCAUCUAUUUAUAAAACUUAAGAACUACAACACUGAUAUAACUUGAUAAAAACCGUCCUGCAGAUGUGGACUUCAGGCAAUUAGUUAACAGACUACCAAAGGGAGCAACCUUCACAAUCCUUUCAGAUUCCUGCCACAGCGGUGGUCUCAUUGAUAAAGAGAAAGAACAAAUUGGACCCUCUACUAUAAAGAACACAACAUCAGUUUCCUACAGGGUUAAAACAAUUCCUUUCCAAUCCGUACUUCAGCACCUAUCAUCACUAACAAGCAUCAACACAUCAGAUAUCAGCACUCAUUUGUUAGAAUUCUUUGGGGCUGACGCCAGUCUCAAGUUUCGUUUACCCCAGCUUGAAUCAGAUUUGUUGGAGUCAUUGAAGACGGACGAGGGGAUUCUGCUGAGUGGGUGCCAAGCAGAUGAAACAUCAGCUGACAUGAACGCAAUCGAGGGUGGAGGGAAGGCAUAUGGGGCGUUUAGCAAUGCAGUGCAUAUGGUACUGAAUGAGAACCCGGGUGCAUUAAGCAAUAGGAAAGUUGUGCUGAUGGCCAGGAAGGUUUUAGAGGCACAGGGAUUUGACCAGCACCCUUGCCUUUAUUGCAGUGAUGGGAAUUCUGAUGCUACUUUCUUGUUGCAGCCCGAAGCCAAAUGAGCCAGCCCAAUUGAUAUUGGUGUAUUCUGUUUGCUUUGUGAUUCAUUUUGGGGUAAUAUGAAAAAAUAAAAUGUUCUGCCAGUCUGUCAGAUUCAGAAACUCACCAACCUUUCCCCUUUAAGAGGAAUUCUCAAUCAAUCCUAUGUGAAUUUGUUAAACAUUUCUUCUGAAGUAUUGAGAAGAUUAAUCAAUUUUAUCUAUAAUUAAUGAUGACAUUUGAAUAUUUGAUUUGAUUCAAUUUGAAGUAUAUAUUCAACCAUUACACUAUUGUCAAAGUACUCAAAUAGUCUCUGCACUUAGAUAUUUUCUUCAAUUUAGUCCAUUUACUUAAAAUCGUAACAAUUUAAUCUCUUAAUUUUAAAAAUUACUUCAAUUUAGUUCUUACAAUAUUUUCUUUUCAAAUUUACCCUUUUAUGGUGUUGACAUCAACGCUAAUGUAGCACCAAAUGCUGAAGUGGCAUGUGAGGUGGGAUCGGGUUACUACCACGUCACUCACUUCUUCUCUAUAAAAUAAUUUUAAAUUUUUUUUACACUCUUGCUAAAAUUCAAACUAUGGACCUUUAACAAACACACCAAAAUCUUUAUCACCACACCCAAACAGUUGCUUUUGUUUCUUUUUGUUCUUUUCUUUACUGUUUUUCUUUCUUAUUUUUUUCCUUUCUCUCUUUAUCCUCCCACCUUCACCCUUAAAAUUGGCAAUCGUCACCUACUGACAAUUGGUCGCCAUUCAUCGGUCAUCAGUCGUUGAUCAUCAGCCAUCAGUAUCAAUGAUCGACGAUUGGUCUUUAAGGGAGAAAGUGGGAGAAAAGAGAGAAAGGGAAAAAAAAGAAAAAAGAGCAAAAAGGAGGAAAGAAAAAAAAGUAAGAAAUAAUUAAAAGUAAGGGUUUAGGUUUGUUGGUAAAUACUUGGUUGGGCUUGGUAGAUGUUUUUGGUUCAAAUUUCAACAAGCACAUAAAAAAUCUCAAAUAUUUUUAGAGAAAAAGAGAGUAAUGUGGCAACCUUCCUAAAAUGUCACGUGGCAUCAAUGCCACAUCAGUAUGUCCAUCAAUCUUCCCUACCACAUCAUCAAUGUUUGCCAUGUCAACUGCCACGUCAACAACUUGAUCCCACCUCAAUUGCCCGGUCAACGCCACAUCAAUGUUGACAUCAACACGAUAAAAGGUAAAUAUGAAAAGAAAAUAUUGGAAAGACUAAAUUGAAGCAAUUUCCAAAAUCAAGAGGCUAAAUUAUUGUGAUUUUGAGUAGAAGGACUAAAUUGAAGAAAAUGCCUAAGUGUAAAGACUAUUUGGGUACUUUGAUCAUUAAAAACAAUAGACUGUAAUAAUUCCUUCAAAGGAAUUUCUUUAUACUACCUUUAUAUAUGAUGACAUGGACAAAACACACCAUUUUGGCAUCACACAAGGAAGUGUGAAACCCAUAGGGUACACAUAAAAAAUGAAUCAAACAUUGCUGCAAAAAAAAAAAAACCAAAACAAUAGCACAAGAUAAUAUCAAAAAAGCAGUAGCAAAAAAUCAUACAAAGAUAACACAAAAUAACCAAAAGGACAAUCCUUUCAAAAAUAAACACACACCAACUCAUUACAACCUAAGAGAGCAAGGAAAACAUAGACAACAGAAUUCCAGCAGUAGAAAAUCCAAACAAUCACAAGACAAAAGACAAAACAAAAGCAAUUUAGCAAUCAAGAAAAGACAGAGGUUCCACAACAAGAGAUAAGAAACCAGAAAUCAUCACUUAACUAAAAGUUUGAAAAAGAUAAACUAAACGGUGAACUCCCUCAUUGGCUAAACAAUCAGCAAGCUGAUUAGCUGAUCUUGGAACGUGUACAAUAGACUAUUUUAGAAUUUUAUGUUUCAAGUUGUUGAUGAACUUUAAUGUACUUUCAUCCUCCAUGUAGUAAAGGAAGAGUCAUUACACCAUUUCACUACAUUAAAAGAAUCUAAUUCCAUAAUAAGCUUCUGUGAACGUGCCUAGGGACAAGUAGCAAAAAGAAGAAAAGCUUCUUUGAUAGCUGUGGUCUCUGCUAAGUUCGAAUUAGCAACUCCCAAUGGUUUAGAAAAAAGAAUUAUGACACAGCCAUUGUUGUCUCUUAAUGCCCUUCCAAUCCUAGCCUUUAUUGUAGUGAUGAAAAUGCUGAUGCUACUUUCUUGUUACAGCUCGAGGUUAACUGAGCCCUAUUGAUAUUGGUAUAUUUUGUUCACUGUGUGAUUUAUUUUAGGGUAAUAUGCAAAAAUAAAAUGCUUUGUCAGUCUGUCAUAAUCAGAAACUCACCAAUCUUUCCUCUGUAAAAGGAAUUCUCAAUAAAUCCUAUGUGAAUUUGUGAAACAUUUCUUCUUAAGUAUUGAGAGAUUAAACAAUUUUAUCUAUAAUUAAUGAUGACAUUUGAAUUUUUGAUUCAAUUUUAAGUAUAAAUUCAACCAUUACACUAUUAAAAAUGGUCAAAGUACCUAAAUAGUCUCUAUACAUAGGCAUUUUCUUCAAUUUAGUUCUUCUACUCAAAAUCGUAACAAUUUAGUCUCUUAAUUUUGAGAAUUACUUCAAUUUAGUCCCUACAACAUUUUCUUUCCAAAUUUACCUUUUAUGGUGUUGACAUCAGCGCUGACAUGUACUAGAUGCUGAAAUGGCAUGUGAGGUAAGAUCGGGUUAUUGCCACACUCUCUUCUUCACUCUAAAAGAAUUUUAAAUUUUUUUUAUGCUAUUGUUAAAGUUCAAACUAUGGACCUCUAACAAAUGCACCAAAGUCCUUAUCACCACACUUAAACCAUUGCUUUUGAUUAUUUGUUGCUUUUGUUUCUUUUUUUCUUUUCUUUUCUAUUUUUCUUUCCUAGUUUUUUUCCUUUCUCUCUCUCUCUCUCUCCUCCCACCUUCACCCUUAAAAUCGACAAUCGACGCCUAUUGGUAGUUGGUCGCCAUUGAUCAUUGUUGGUCACCGAUCGUUGACUGUCAAUACCAGUGACUGACGGUUGGUCUUUAAGGGAAAAGGUGAGAGAAGAAAAAGAAAGGAGAAAAAAAAAGAAAAAGAGAGAAAAAAAGAAGAAAAGAAACAAAAGUAAGAAAUAAUUAGAAGCAAAGGUUUAGGCUUGGUGGUCAAGACUUUGUUGUGCUUGGUAAAGGUUUUUGGUUCAAAUUUCAACAAGAACAUAUUCUUAGAAAAUAAGAGAAUGACGUGGCAAUCUUCUUAACAUGUCACGUGGCAUCAAUGCCACAUCAGUAUGUCCAUCAAUCUUCCUUACAACGUCAUCAAUGUUUACCACUUCAGCAUUGACGUGGUAGUGCCAUAUCAGCAUUGAUGUGUUAGUGCCACGUUAACAACUCGAUCCCAUCUCACUUGCCAUGUCAACAUAUGGUGUCACAUCAACACCACGUCAAUGUCAACAUCAACACCAUAAAAGGUAAAUUUGAAAAGAAAAUGUUAGAAGGACUAAAUUAAAGUAAUUUUCAAAAUUAAGGAGCUAAAUUGUUAUGAUUUUGAGUAAAUGGACUAAAUUGAAGAACACACCUAAGUAUGGGGACUAUUUAAGUACUAUGAUCAUUUUGAUGGAAAUUCUUUAUACUUCCUUUAUAUAUGAUGACAUGGACCAAACACACCAUUUUGGCAUCACACAAAGAAGUGUGAAACUCAUAGGAUACACAUAAAAAAUGAAUCAAACAUUGCUGCAACAAAAACCAUAAUAAUAACAACACAAGAUUAAUAUCAAAACAACAGUAGUGAAAAAUCAUGCAAAGAUAACACAAAAUAACCAAAAAGACAAUCCUCUCGAAAAUAAACACAGACCAGCUCAUUGCAACACAAGAGAGCAAUUAAAACAUAGACAAUAGAAUUCCAGCAGCAAAAAAUCCAAACAAUCACAAGACAAAGACAAAACAAAAGCAAUUUAGCAAUCAAGAGAAAAGAGAGGUUUCACAACAAGAGAUAAGAAACUAGAAAUCAAUCAUCACUUAAUUGAAAGUUUGAAAAAGAUCAACUAAAUAGUGAAUUCCCUCAUUGGAUAAACAAUCAUCAAUCUAAUUAGCUGAUCUUGGAUCGUGUACAAUAGACCAUUUUAGAAUUUUAUGUUUCAUGUUGUUGAUGUAGUUUAAUUUACUUUUCAUCCUCCAUGUAGUAAAAGAGGAGUCAUUACACCAUUUCACUACAUUAAAAGAAUCUAAUUCCACAAUAAGCUCAUGUGAAUGUGCCUAGAGACAAGCAGUGAAAAGAAAAAAAGCUUCUUUGAUGGCUAUGGUCUCUAUUAAGUUCAAAUUAGCAACUUCCAAUUGUUUAGAAAAAAGAAUUAUGACACUGCCAUUGUUGUCUCUCAAAGCCCUUGCAAUAUUGGCCAACCCUAGGCAUCCUUUAGUUGCUCUAUCCACAUUAAACUUCAUAAAUAUUAUGUUUGGUUUAACCCAUUCCACUGUUGGCUUGUCUUUUUUCAAAGUCACUCUAACUUUUGCACAAGAGGCUCCCUCACCACAUCCAGAACAGAUGGAUUUUCAAAAGACCAUUUGGCCUUUGCCCACCAUCCAAUUCUAAGUUUAACCACAUCGUACAUUUAUCGGAUAUCCCAUAACAUCCCUUUGAAAACUAGGUCAUUUCUAUGAAGCCAGAUGUUCCAUAGAAUUGCAAAUAAGGCCAUGCGCCAAAUUGGACUACUCCCACCACCAGAAAUAUUAGGAUUCCAAGCAGUGAAUAAAGCUUCUAAAUUACCUGACAAAACCCAAUUAUACCCCUAAUUGUUAAUCUAAAGGUUUCAUACUUGCCAAGAAUCAUAGCAACUGAGGAAGAGAUGAUAUGCCAUCUCUAUCUCUUUAUUACAAUAAGGCAUAAAGUAGCAUUCUCAUUGCUAAUGCCUCUUUUAAAGAGCUCUAUUUUAACCGCCACCUACCCAUGGAGGACUUGUCAGCAAAAGACUUCUACUUUUGAAGGAACAAUAAGCUCACCAAUUAACCUCAUGCUCGUUGCUCAAUAUCCACCUUGCAAACCACCAACAGUACACAUGUGUACCUUGUGGAACGUGCCAACUUGUGAAUAGUCUCCCUCAAGCAACUUUGUUGCAUGCACAAUGAACUUGCAUGCCUUGUCUUUACAAGCAACCUCAAAACGGGGCGUGACAUGACUUUUUAACUUUAAUCUCGAAAUGCUCUUUUAGUUCCAACAUGUUCAAAGCUUAUUUCAAUUUGGCCUUGGAUGGAAACAUUUUUCCUUGAUAUAAGUCGUCAUUGGUUGAUUUGGACUCCAUGGUGGCAAUUGUUUGGAAGGAUAUCAUAUCUAACCCUGAAAUAAUUCAUUGACGAGAUAUCCUUACAUUUACCAUUAUUUGAUCACUGUCAUCGAGAGAACGAAUCCCGUUGUCACCAACAAUGGAGUUGUCAUAAAUAGGGUCAUCACAUUGAACAUCUUCUAAGACAAUAGUUGUGGCAUGGUCAUAGCACUGAACAUCUUCUAACUCAAUAGUUGUGGCAUGUUUUAUACUACCAUCUGCAUAAUUGCAAUUUGGAAUGUCAUUGUUGUCAUCCUUGUCCUCCUUUGAACAAUCAUUAUGCCUGCCAACGUAAUUGUCUUCACAGUCAUUGUCCAUCUCAUCAUUCCAAUUAGUAGUGUCAUCCUCUUCACAGUCAUCAUCCAUCUGACCAGAUGUUUCAUCAUCACUCACGACCAUUAUGGUGUCGUUUGCGAAUGGCAAUGGACCCACUGCAUUCUUAGGUGACGAUUGCAUUUGUUGGCAAGAACAAAGUAUUUUGUUUAAUGCACAUUCUGAUCGAAAUUAUCUGUGUGUGUACCAGGCUACUCAAACUCGUUUGCAUAUGUCAAUGGUGAUUGCCAUUGCUAUCCGUUAGGUAUUGCAUGGUGUGGUAUGUCUGAAGCAGUAUAAUUUUGAUUUAGGUUAUUACUAUGUUAAACACCUUGUUUGUGUGGCAUAACAUCUGCAUUUUGUUCCUUAACUGUCACAAACACUACAACCGCCCCCUCAUCUCAUAGAUUACUUGCUAAAUCUUCAUUGUCCUUAACAACUGCACAUGAAACCUCUACGACAUGACUGAGCAAUGUAUGUAGCUCGAUUUCGUGAUUCUGUGAGUUACCCCAACGACAUCUUCAACCAGCUUCAUUAGGUCCGAAAAUAAUAAAUCACUCCCAACACUCCUCACUCGUGUCUCACCACCCUUAUAAGUGUCAUCAACUCAAUGACCACCGCACAAUUAUAAGCUUCAUAUUUAGCAUGCCGUUGAAAUUUAACAGAAAAUAAAUGUCACAAUCAAUUAAUUUAUCAAAAAAAAAACAUGUGUAAUCAUAAGCUUCAAUCAAUUUGUAACGUAAUGCCUAACAAACCAGUCUGGCAAUGCCUAACAAACUAUUCAUGCAAUACCUAAAAAUUAGUCCCACAAUCACUAUAACCAGUUACUCAAUAUCUAAAAAUUAGUCCCACAAUGCCUAAAAAUCAAUCUCGUAAUUCCUACAACCUAGUCACGUAAUACCUAAAAGCUAGUCUCGCAAUGCCUAAACACUAAUCUUGCAAUGCCUACAAACUAGUCACACAAUGCCUAAAACCCUUCUUUCUCCUAUGCCUAGAAACUAGUGACUCAAUGCUUAAAAACCAAAAACGUAUGGUUAAUAACUAAUUGAUUUACUUACUCGCAACAACCAGGUUUAAGUUGCCAAGGUCAUACAAGUCUCUAAUUUAUAGACAUGUUUAAUCAAUUUCAAUCCAUUGACUUUGAGAUUCCAUUCUAUGAAUAUAACCUGAAUUAUAACCUGAAUGAAGGUUCAUUAAAGGUAGAGAGCAAGGUGUGUUGGAGUUUGAAAAGGACUCUAAAACUGUAACUACACAUAAUGUCCACGGAAUUAUGCAAUAAUGGUGACUGUUUUUUGAGCACAAUAUGUCUGAAUGUAGACCGAAGGAUAAAUGUGCAAGUACAUAGGUAGAGUGGGGGAAUUAAAUGUGCGAAUGGAAAGGAUUUGUUGCACCUGAGUUUUGCAGCUAUUUUGAUUUAAGACAGGUGGGUUCAGACAAGAUAUGUUUGGGUUCAAACAAAGUUGCAUGAUGUAUUUAAGGACAGUCUGAUGUAUAGAUAUUCCCAAAUCUAGGUAUUUAGAUUAUGUGGGGUUUUAGUUAUUUCAUAUUUAUUUUAUGUUUCUUGUAACCAAUAAGUUCAUAAGUUAUUUUUGGCUUUUGGCUCUUGGCAAUCAAAAAGCUUAAUUUUUACAAAAAAAAAAUAUAAGUAGGACCUAAUUAUAACUUAACUUAAAUAAAUAAGAUGUACCACAAAAUUGAAAUUAACUUUUCUAAGGUCUUAAAAUAUAUGUUUAAGAAUAAAGAUAAAUAGUUAUCACAAAAUUAUUGUAAAAUAUAAAAAUAUAACAUUUUUUUUAUAAAAAAAUUUAAUUAAUUUGUAUCCCUAGCUUCAAAGAACUCUUACACAAAAAAAAAUAAAAAAUUUUACACAAUUAAAUAAAAAUAUUGAUGUUAAAAAAUAAUAUUUUUAAAAAUAUUAACAUAAAUGUUUGAAAACAAGGAUAAAAAUUCAUAAGUUUUAAGGUUAAAAAUUCAUAAUUUUUAAGGUAAAAUGGUAAAAAGUAUCAUAAUUAACUUAAAAUAAUUUAUAAUGAUUAUAAACAUUAAAACUAACAUUGUUAAAAAUGUUAGUGUAAAUGUGUGAGAAUAUGGAUAAAAAUACAUAAUAUUUAAUACAAAAAGAAUAAGAAAUGUCUAUUCAAUUUAAGAUAAUUUAUGAUAAUUAUAAACAUUUAAAAUUAAUAUUUUGAAAAAUGUUGAUGUAAACGUGUGAAAAUAAAGAUAAAAACAUGUAACAUCUAACUAUAUAAAAUGAAUAUAAAUUAGCAUCAUCAACUUAAGAUAAAUUAUAAGCAUUAAAAAUAACCUUUUUGUUCUAAAAAAAUAACCUUUUUGAAUAAAGAUAACAAAACGUAAUAGCUACUAUAAAAUGAAAAAAAACUGUUGUAAUCAACUUCAAAUAAGCUAUGAUAAUUAUAAAUGUAACGGAAGAUAAGAAUAAAUAUAACUUGAUAAUAGUUUAUCAUAAAUAACUAAGAUAUCAAUCUAAAUUUCAAACUAGCCUUCAUAAAAUCGUAACUUAAAAGUUGAUAACAUAAACAAAAUAAACUGAACAGUUCUCGUAAAUGAAUAAAACUUAAUCUAAAAUUUAAAUUAAAAGAAUCUAACAUACAUAAGUAAUAUAAAUUGUAAAAAUAUAUAAUAUGUGGCAUAAAGUAGGUAAGGAGUGUCCUAAUUAUAUACAAACUAGAAUGCUUCCUGCGCGUUGAGUUAGGAAAUUGUUAUUUUAUGUGUAUUGUUUGAAAUAUUAUAUGAAAGGUUAUCAUUAUCUUAAAUAGAAGUUUAAUUAUUUGUUUGAUGUUAUUAAAAGAAUAUAGUUUAACAAAUUGUUAACUUUAAUUAUGUAGUUGAUGUUAUCAUAACAGAAAAACUAACUAAAUUAUUAACAUUAAAAUAUACAUUGAUGGUUAGAAAGAGUGUAAUAUUCAAUGUGCAUAAAUGACAUAGGAUGCUAUCAAUAAUGGAAAAAAAAAAAAGAAAAAAAGGUUAAGUAUGCUAUAUUGGAAACAGUGAAUAUUUGAAUAAUAGGUAACUACUUGUGAGCAUUGUAUUGUAUAAGAAAAAAUUAUUUACAUGAAUUUGAAUAGCUUGAAGUCAUAGCUUAGAAAUAUUUUUAGAAAGCCAAAUCCAUUUGCAUCAGCAAAAAACAAAUUGUCAAAACCAAAAUGGCUAAAAAUUUUGUUGAAAUUAGAAAAUAAAAGAAAAACCAAAACCAAAUCACAAAAUCAAAUUAAACAUCACAACAAAGAAGAAAAAAAUAAACAGAAAUAAAGAAUUCACACAACAUUCAAGAAAAAAAAACCUCCAAAACUCAUUACAAGCGAAACUAAAUUUCAAAGACAAAGACAUCAACCUAGACAAUAAUUAAAAAGACAACAGAAUCAGAGAACUAAGAGUCCAAAAAAAGCCCAAAUCAAGCGAAACUCAGAGAGGAAGACAAUGAAAGCAGUAACGGAAAUCAAACAUACAAAAUAUAAGAAUCAAAACAAAAGAACAAACCAAACCAAAUCUAAAACACCAAGUAAACAAUCAAGCCAAAAAAAUAAUAAACCAAACCAAAUACAAAAGUCAAGGACAGCACCAAAUCGCAGAAGAAAAGAAAAAAAAUUAUAAAUCAAAAUACAAAAAAGUAAAGAAAUCAAGAAGAAGAACACCUCAACGAAUCAAAUAACAAAGAAAAUGAACAAAAAAGCACCAAAAGAAAUAAAGAAAACAAAACCAAAUAAAAUAAAAAAAAGAAAAGAGCAGUGAAAAGAGAGGAGAAAACAAUGAAAACAAUAGAGAAAGCAAGAAAUGGGAAAGGGCAGAAAAACCUAGAGGGAAAAGGAAUAAUCUAGAAACAUAGUAAUGAAAAAGAUCAAAAUAAGAUGUAAACAUAUUAAAAUCCCAAAACACCCACAAAAUAAAGGAAAGAUUGAUAGUGAAAAGACAAAAGAAGACUAAAAAAAUCCCACCAUCACCAAAUAAGCCACCAGUUGAAACCCAAAAAAAAAAAAAAAACCAGUAGAGGGCUUCAUUGAAUGACAAACCUCAAUUUUAACUCACUUUUAAUAUAUAGUACAGAUUUUAUGUCCAAGUCAAUUGCGCCUGAUGAAAAGACACAAUAUUUUGUUGAUAAAUUAAUUUUGUACAUAAACAAAUAAAUUUAAUAGUAUUUGAAGAAAAUUCAACUUUUAAAAUUCACACCAAUAUUAAUUUCUUACAUCAUAACUAGAAGAACAUAAAUAAUAAUAAUAAACAUUUAAUUUAUUUUUUAAAACUUUUAAAUGUGAUAUAUUUACAUGUGAUAGGUAACUAAAAAGAAAAUUGAAACUACUACUAUUUACCUAAUUUUGUUAAAAUAUUUAUUAAUUGCAUUCAGCUUUAUGGUUUUUUAUUAUGUUUGUUGAAUUAAAUCUUUAUUACUUAAAAUAAUCUGUCAUCCAAAGUGAAAUAAUUAAUGAUAUUCUUAAUUAAUAUGAUUAUUGUAGCAUAAUUUGAUAUGUAAACAAAGAAAUACUAAGUAAAAUAACAAAAUAUAUUUGUUAUAAAUCAGUUAAGAUAUGACUUAAUUAUACUAAAAAUUACAUUUAUUUGCAAAAAUCAGUAAAAUCAAUAUAAAAUAAUUAAGAUAGACAAUUUAUCUUAUUAGUUAAAUGAACGAAACAAAUAAAAAUAUAUUUACUUUACUUUUCAAUUUAACUUUUAACCUGUUUUACCAUUUUCUUUGUUUUAUUUUUAAAUUUAUUCUUUUUCUAUUUCUCAUAAAAUAUUUUAUGACUUUAUUUCAAGGUCAAUAUUUUUGUAAUCUUACUUUAAAUAUACCAAUUUGCUUCCACUAAGUGCAUGCUUGAUCAUUCCCUCCUAUUCUAAUCUCUUUUUAAUAUUACUUAUUCUAUUUCUUUUCAUUCUAUGAGCCAAAUUACUUAAUAGAUAUUUCUGUCCUAUUUUAUUUUCACAAAAUAAUUAUUCAAUUUUUUCUCUGUUUCAUUCCACAAACCAAAUACGCAUCCCUGACUUGGUAUAGGAAAUUAUGAAUGAAGAGAACUAGGAGCAAGGAACGAGGAAAGGCCCAAAUUCAUUCUGAAAUUUGUAACAUUGUUCUCCCUGGCUUUUCCCAACCUUAAAAGUGAACGUAAAGAAUUAAUUUCUUCAGGUGUGAAAUAUGUCUAUAUAUAUAUAUUAACAAAGGCAAAGAUUGAAGCAUAUGUCAAAUGUUAGCCAUUCUGUCUUCAGCAAGAUUGAAGCAUUGAAGCAAUCUUCCGAUGCUUGGAAGGCAACUAAUACGACAGAAAGGUUGCUUGAACUAUUUUUCGAGCCAACUAUGAAAUUGCAGUUACUAUAAAUCCCAAGCUCAAGGCGAAGAAGAACAAAUUCCUGUGAACUACAACCGGCAAACCAGUUCUUUACAAAUCACAGAAUCCCAGCAUUAAUGGACAAGGGUAAGAAGAGAUUGGCUGUUCUGGUUGGAUGCAACUACGCCAACACCCAGCACGAGUUGCAUGGUUGCAUAAAUGAUGUGGUAGCAAUGAGAGAGGUGCUUGUUGAAAGAUUUGGGUUCGAUCCUAGCCAUAUUGAGCUCCUGACUGAUGCACCGGGGUCCUUGGUUAUGCCUACAGGUGCAAACAUUAAGGCUUCACUUAAUGAGAUGAUGAACAAGGCUGAGGCAGGGGAUGUCCUGUUUUUCCACUAUAGUGGACAUGGAACGAGAAUUCCAUCCUUGAAACCUGGCCAUCAUUUCAGGCAGGAUGAAGCAAUCGUGCCUUGUGAUUUCAAUCUCAUUACGGGUAAUUAAACCUUUGCCUUUGUGUUUUAUGUAGAAAAGAGAUCCGUUUAUCAUCUAUUUAUAAAACUUAAGAACUAUAACACUGAUAUGACUUGAUAAACACCGUCCUGCAGAUGUGGACUUCAGGCAAUUAGUUAACAGACUACCAAGAGGAGCAACCUUCACAAUCCUUUCAGAUUCCUGCCACAGCGGUGGUCUCAUUGACAAAGAGAAAGAACAAAUUGGACCCUCUAUUGUAAAGAACACAACGUCAGUUUCCUACACGGUUAAAACAAUUCCUUUUCAAUCCGUACUUCGGCACCUAUCAUCACUAACAAGCAUCAACACAUCAGAUAUCGGCACUCAUUUGUUAGAAUUCUUUGGGGCUGACGCCAGUCUCAAGUUUCGUUUACCCAAGCUUGAAUCAGAUUUGUUGGAGUCAUUGAAGACGGACGAAGGGAUUCUGUUGAGUGGGUGCCAAGCAGAUGAAACAUCAGCUGACAUGAACGCAAUUGAGGGUGGAGGGAAGGCGUAUGGGGUGUUUAGCAAUGCAGUGCAUAUGGCACUGAAUGAGAACUCGGGUGCAUUAAGCAAUCGGAAAGUUGUGAUGAUGGCCAGGAGGGUUUUAGAGGCACAGGGAUUUGCGCAGCACCCUUGCCUUUAUUGCAGUGAUGGGAAUGCUGAUGCUACUUUCUUGUUGCAGCCCGAGGCCAACUAAGUCCUAUUGAUAUUGGUUAUUCUGUUUGCUGUGUGAUUCAUUUUGGCGUAAUAUGCAAAAAUAAAAUAUUCUGUCAGUCUGUCGGAUUCAGAAACUCACCAACCUUUCCCCUGUAAGAGGAAUUCUCAAUCAAUCUUAUGUGAAUUUGUGAAACAUUUCUUCUUUAAGUAUUGAGAAGAUUAAUCAAUUUUAUCUAUAAUUAAUGAUGGCAUUUGAAUAUUUGAUUCAAUUUUAAGUAUAUAUAUAUUCAACCAUUAUACUAUUAAAAACAGUCAAAGUACCCAAAUAAUUUUUGUAAUUAGGCAUUUUUUUCAAUUUAGUUUCUCUACUCAAAAUCAUAAUAAUUUGGUCCCUUGAUUUUGAAAAUUGUUUCAAUUUAGUCCCUCUAACAUUUUUAUUCCAAAUUUACCCUUUAUGAUGUUGACAUUAAGGCUAACGUUUCUUCAAUUUAAUCCCUCUACUCAAAAUCGUAAUAAUUUAAUCUAUUGAUUUUGAAAAUUACUUCAAUUUAGUUCCUCUAACAUUUUUUUUUCAAAUUUACCCUUUAUGAUUCUAAGGUAGCAUGUGAGGAGGUAUUGAGUUGAUGCCACAUUACUUUCUUCUUUUCUCUAAAAGAAUUUUAAAUUUUUUUUACGCAUUUGCUAAAGUUCGAACUAAUCACCUUUAACAAACACACUAAAGUCUUUACCACCACACCUAAACCGUUUCUUUUGAUUAUUUGUUGCUUUUGUUUCUUUUUUCUUUUCUUUUUGAUUUUUCUUUCUUAUUUGUUUCUUCUCUCUCUUUCCUCCCACCUUCUCCCUUAAAGACCAACGACUGUCACCCAUCGACAGUCUAUCGUUGGUUGUCAAUCGAAGGUAGCCUACAAUCAAUUUUCGUUCAUCAAUCAUCGUUCAUCAAUUGUUGGUCAUCAAUCAUCAACUGUUGAUAUUGGUGACAGGCGACCAAUCUUUAAGGGAAAAGGUGAGAGAAGAGAGAGAAAAGUAAAAAAAAAAGAAAAAAAAAGGAAAAGAAACGAAAGUAAGAAAUAAUUAAAAGCAAGGGUUUAGGCUAGAAAAAAGUGACGUGGUAGCCUUUCUAACAUGUCACGUGGUAUCAAUGCCACAUCAGCAAGUCCAUCAAUCUUCCUUGCCACGUCAUCAAUGUUUUCCAUGUUAGUGCUCACAUGGCAAUACCACGUCAACAACCCAAUCCUACCUCACAUGCCAUGUCAGCAUCUGGUGUCUCAUCAAGACCAUGUCAAAGAUGACAUCAACACCACAAAGGGUAAGUUUGGAAAGAAAUGUUGAAAAGAUUAAAUUGAAACAAUUUUCAAAAUUAAAGAAUUAAAUUGGUUGCAAUUUUGAGUAAAGUGACUAAACUGAAGAAAACACCUAAAUACAUGGACUAUGUGAAUACUUUUAACCAUUAAAAACAACAGAGUGUAAUAAUUCCUUUGAUGGAAUUUCUUUAUACUUCUUUUAUAUAUGAUGACAUGGACAAAACAUGCCAUUUUGCAUCACACAAAGAAGUGUGAAACCCAUAAUAUACACACAAAAAAUGACUCAAACAUUGCUGCAACAUAAAUCAAAACAACAGUAGCACAAGAUAAUAUCAAAACAGCAACAAUGAAGAAUCAUACAAAGGUAACAUAGAACAACCAAUAGGACAAUCUUCUAAAAAAUAAAUGCAAACCAGCUUAUCACAACCCAAAAGAGCAAUGAAAACAUAGACAACAGAAUUCCAAAAAAAAAAAAAAAUCCAAACAAUUACAAGAGAAAAGGCAAGAUAGAAGCAAUUUAGCAAUCAAGAGAAGACAGAGGUUCCAUAAUAGGAUAUAAGAAACCAAAAAUUGUCACUUAGUUGAAAGUUUGAAGAAUAUCAAUUGAACGGUCAACUCCUUCUUGGGCUAAACAAUCAGCAAGCUGAUUAAGUGAUCUUGGAACAUGCAUAACAGACCAUUUUAGAAUUUUAUGUUUCAAGCUGUUGAUGAAGUUUAAUGUACUUCUUAUCCUCCAUGUAGAAAAGGAGGAGUCAUUACACCAUUUCACUACAUUAGAAGAAUCUAAUUCCACAAUAAGCUCAUGUGAAUAUGCCCAAGGACAGGUAGUAAAAAGAAUAAAAGCUUUUAUGAUAGCUGUGAUCACUACUAAGUUCGAAUUAACAACUCUCAACGGUUUAGAAAAUAGAAUAAUGACAUAGCCAUUGUUGUCUCUCAAAGCCUUUCUAAUCUCAGCUAACCCCGGGCAUCCUCUAGCCGCUCUAUCCACAUUAAACUUAAUAAAUAUGAUGUUUGGUUUUUCUAAAAGUGUAAGCAUGAGGAAUGCUAAUUUUGUUGAGCUUCUUGCCAUUAAAAAAGUUUUAUUGAUCUUUGUUGCCUCUGAUUGGGUUUCUUCUUAUGAACCUAUUGUUAGAAAAAAAAUUAUUAGCAACAAAGGAAUAUAAAACAAGUAAAACAGUAAUUGGUCUGAGGCGUGGUAUCACUGUCUUUAAAGAUAAUUUUUACCACUUCGGAGUAUAAAACUCGGUGCAAAAGGACUGUAGCGGUUAUCCUCCAAGACUCAACAAACCCUUCCUUAUAGUUUGCAUAAACUAUUAAGGGAUGACAAGAACAGUAGAAAAGAAAAAACCCAGCUACAAAAGAAAUGAGGCAAGGAAAACUUAAGAGAAGAAAGGAGGUAGAGGAAUUAAUGGAGAAAGCUUAAGAGAAGAAAAGCUUUGGUGUGUGUUGUGAGUGAUGGUGUGAGGCUAUAUUUAUAGGCAUGAAGUGAAGUGAACGUUGCACCACAUAAGGUGAACGUUGCAACAGAUUAGGAAGUUGAGAAAAACCUAGUCUGCAUUUGUACUAAGUCAGAUAAACGUUGGAGUAAAACUAGGAUAAACGUUGGAGCAAAACUAAGAGAACCAAGUAAGCAUGGUAGAGUUUGAGUUUGAUUUAAUCAAGGGAUGAAAAUGCUUAAAAACUUAAAUCUAAGGUACAAAAAGUCACUUGGGCACAGCCCACGUGUGUAUUCGUGCGCAGGGGGGGAAUCUGAAAUUUCUAAAGGUUUGGCCCAAUCUUGUGUGCGUGCGAGCCUACUUCGUUUUGCUUGCUUGCAAUUAGCCCAUAGUUGGUUUUCAUAUAUAAGGCAUUCACCUUUUAUGUAUCUUGGCAAUGUGAGAUGUUUGAACCUUAUGAAAUACACUAUUUUCCAACAAUCCCCCACAUAUUUCAUAAGGUUUUAUAAGAAGUUUUGCUGGUCAAAUUUCAUUUAAGUGUAAUGCAUCAUGACUGGUGCUUUUUAAGCUAUGAACCACCCCUAGAAAGAAUGAAAUAUAAGUCACAGAAUUUUGGUGAAGUUUGUAACUUAUAUGAACCAAAAUUCUUUAUGUGAAAUAUAGUUUUCAUCAAUCACAUUACACCCCCACAAUUUCUUCUGUUCAACACAAUUUUGCGUGAAUAGGCCAUGCACGUGCCUGGUUAUUCAUAAGUGCUCUAGAGAAUUUGCCAUAAUUCUCAUAGGAGCGGCCCCACUCCACACUUAUAUAGGUUGAUUCCAUCAAGUGUAUACUGCAAUAUAAUAUACUACCCUUAAGGGAUAUGGAAUGCAUUAAGAGUUUAACUCAACCUCUCUUGCAUUGCAGUUUUGCACUACUUACACACCAUCAGAGAGACAAUAAUUUCAAUAGUGCAUUAAUUUAUCAACAAAUAACUUGUUAUUACCCAUAUGAACCUAAUUCAUGGGAUUUCCAAUCACAUAGGUUGGGUUACUAUUAUUUGUUGAUUUCCUCAUUUGGCUUAAGUCCCAUGCCUCUCGAUGUAGCAUCAAUUAAUUUUCUUCCCAAGGGUUUAGUUAGAAGAUCGAUCAAAUUCAGCUCUGACUUCACAUAAUUAAUGGAUAUAAUUCCAUCUUUAAGCAACUACUUUACUACAUCAUGUCUCAAAUGAAUGUGUCUAUUUUUACCAUUGAAAGUUUUAUUCUUUGCAAUGGCUAUUGCCGCUUGGCAAUCAUAAUGUAUGGACACAUAAGGUGUUGGUUUCAUUCCUAAUGGAAUAUAUACUAAGAGGUUUCUCAACCACUCAGCCUCAUUGCCAGCCAACUCUAAAGCUACAAAUUCUGACUCCAUUAUAGAUUUAGCAAUUAUUGUUUGUUUGGCUGAUUUUCAAGUUAUAACACCCCCACCAAGGGUGAAUACAUAACUACUCGUAGAUUUCGUCUCAUUUGAAUCUGAGAUCCAGUUAGCAUCACUGUAUCCUUCUAAUACAACAGGAAAUCCAUUAUAUAAAAUACCAUAGUUUUAUGGUACCUUUCAAAUAUUUCAUCACCCUACUCAAGGCAAUCCAAUGAUCUCUAUUAGGACUUUGUGUAUAUCUACUCUGUCUACAUACAACAUAAGCUAUAUCUGGUCUAGUAUAAUUCAUCAAAUGCAUUGGACUCCCAAUAAUCUGUGCGUACUCAGACUGAGCUACAAUAUCACUUUUAUUUUUCUUUAAUUGGAUAUUACUAUCAUAAGGAGUACUCAUAGGUGUGACAUCAAAAUGUCCAAACCUUUUAAGUAGCCUCUCAACAUAAUGCUCUUGUGUUAGCAUUAAGCCACUAUCACAUCUUAUGAUUUUAAUACCCAAAAUAACUUUGGCUUCUUCCAGAUCUUUCACGUCAAAGUUAGAAGCUAAAAAACAUUUUGUUUUAUUGACCACAUCAAUGCAUGUACCAAAAAUAAGUAUAUCAUCAACAUAUAAGCUAAUAAUCACACAUUCACUAUCAACAGUUUUUGUGUACACACAUUUAUGAACUCCAACAGUAGAAAAUCCAUUACUAACAAGAAAUUGAUCAAAUUUCUCAAGCCAUUGUUUUGGUGCUUGUUUCAAGCCAUAUAAUAAUUUAAUCAAUUUACAAACUUUGUUUUCUUGACCAGGAAGAAUACAUCCCUCGAGUUGUGCCAUACAAAUUUCUUCUUCUAAAUCACCAUUUAAAAAAGUGGUUUUUACAUCCAUUUGAUGAACAACAAGUUUGUAAAUUGAAGCUAAGGCAAAUAAAACACGAAUUGAUGCAAUUCUUGUUACUGGAGCAAAAGUAUCAAAAUAGUCAAUAUUUGGUUUUUGAGUAAAACCCUUUGCAACUAAUCUAGCUUUAUAUUUAUCAAUAGAACCAUCAGGAUUAAAUUUCCUUUUAAAAAUCCAUUUGCAACCAAUUGGUUUGGCUCCAGGUGGUAAAUCAACUAAUUCCCAAGUUUGAUUUUGUAAAAUCGAAUCAAUCUCAUUUUGUAUGACUUCUUUCCAAAAUAAACUUUCUUUAAAAGAAAUUGUAUCAGCAUAAGUUAAAGGAUCAUUAUCUACAAGAUAAGUAUAAAAAUCAUUACCAAAAGAAAUUUUCUUCCUUGGUCUUUUACUCCUUAAAUCAUCAUUUUUAUAUUUCAAAAUCAUUUUUACUAAAGGGUGCAUGAGAAAUUGUAUCAGUUCUUAAUGAAAAAAUAAGCUCAAAAAAUUCAACAUUCUUUGUUUCAACAAUUGUAUUACAAUAAAGAAUAUCACUUUUUAAUACAAGAAAUCUAUAUGCAGCACUAUACUCAGCAUAACCAAUAAACAUUCAAUCAGAUGUCUUAGAAUCAAUUUUUCUCUUCUUAAAUUCAAGAAGCAUUACCUUAGCUAGACACCCCCAUACUUUCAAAUAUUUUAAAUUAGGAGAAUAAACUUUCCAUAAUUCACAAGAUGUCUUACCAGUAUUCUUAUAAGGUAUUCUAUUUUGAAUAUGACAUGCAGAUAAUAAAGCUUCACCCCACAAAUUUUCAUGUGCAUUGGAACUAACAAGCAUAGAGUUCAUCAUUUCUUUUAAUGUUCUAUUUUUUCUUUCAGCUACACCAUUUGAUUCAGGAGAAUAUGGAGGAGUAAUUUCAUGAAUUAUUCCUUCUUUUUCACAAAUAUCAUUAAUCGGUAUAUAUUCACCCCCUCUAUCUGAUCUAACUUUUUUUUUAUCUUUUUAUUCAGUUGAUUUUCUACCUCAGCUUUAUAUUUAAUAAACAUGUCAAAAGCUUCAUCUUUAUGCCUAAGCAAAUAAACUUUAGUAAAUCUAGAAUAAUCAUCAAUAAAUGUAACGUAGUAUUGCUUACCACCUCUAGUCACAGUUUGUUUUAGAUCUCCUAAGUCUAUAUGAAUUAAACAUAAUAAUUCAGAUUCCCUAUUUACUGAAAUACAAGUUUUCUUAGUUGAUUUCGUUUCAGCACAUAUUUUGCAUUUAUUAAAGCAUCCAUUUUUAAUACUAGAAGUUAAACCUAGUGAUUGCAUUUUCUUAAUAUAAGGAAUGCUAACAUGUCCUAGUCUACCAUGCCAUAAAUAAACAAAGUCAAUCAUGUAAGCGGAAAAAUUGCCAUUUUCAUUCAAAACAUUAGAAAUGUUAAGUACAAAGAGUCCCUGAUUGCAAUAACCCUUACCCACAAACACAUUAUUUUUUAUCAUCCCGAUCUUGUCAAAUUCGAAUGACACUUUCACCCUAACCUUGCCUAAUAAAGCCACAGAUACCAGGUUUGCCCUUAUAUUGGGAACAUGAAGAACAUCAUUUAAAGCUAGGGUUUCGCCAGAUGUGAGCUUGAGAAGGACUUUACCUUUACCAAGAACUUGAACAGUUCGAGAAUCACCAAGGUAUAUUGUCUCUUUUCCUUCCCCUACUGGAGUAUAGGAGGUAAAGGCAUUUCUGUUUGCACAAAUAUGCAUGGUAGCACCUGAGUCUACCACCCAUUCCUUCACACUGGCCACCAUAUUUGCUGUUAAAAUGACCGCAGCGAUUACAUUGUCAAAUUCAUCUACUUUGACCAAGUUGACUCUUGGAUUAGCAAGUUUGUCAUUUCCCUUUGCUCUUUUCCUACAUUUGUGCUGCAUGAUGCCCUGGCUUUCCAUAGACAAAACAACUACCCUUCUUUUUGAAGGUGGGAUGAAGAGCCUUGGGUUUAUGAUCAGGUUUGUAAGGGUACUUUUGUUGACGCUGGGUUCUGUCUUGCACCAGAUUGGCUUUAGUUGCAAUUUCUUUAGCUUUGGAGGCCUUAAUCUCCCUGCAAAUUGUGUCUUCAAUGAUGAUGUGCACAAUCAAAUCUACAAGUGACAACUACUUUUCCUUGUGCUUCACUUGUUGCUUGUAUCCAUUCUAGGAUUCUAGCAGCUUCUCAAUCAGUAACCCACCAACGAAUUCUUUUUGCAAGUUGAUUUUUUUCAGCCUUCAAAUUAUCCACCAGCUUAUGGUAUUCAUUAAUCUGACUCUUAAUGUCCUUGUCAUCUGUCAUCUUUCAGCGAUAAAAGUUGCCAAUCAUAAACUUUUGUUUCCCAACAUCUUCAGUAGUGUAAUUGGCUAUCAUUGACUCUCAUAUUUGCUUUGCUUAUUUGUAAGGGCUGUAUACAUCAAACAACUCAUUAGAAAGUGUGAUAAUGAUUGUAUGCCUGCAUACUUUAUAUGCAUGCAUCCACGGUUCUAGCAUCUUGACAUCAUCUUGCUUGGAAUCAAUUAGUGCAAUAGCCACCCCAUGAACAUCAAGGAUUGAAAAAAUCUUUUCUUGCCACCUUUUGAAGUUUCUACCAUCAAAGACUUCUAUUUUGGAAAUAUCUGGAAAUGGUUUGGCAUAUGAAACCGAGGGCAUAGGAACAAUGGUCAUCGGAGUAGGAGCUAUGGGGGAACCGUUGACAGUGGUGGUGGCAGUAGGGACAAAGGCAACAUUAGGAAUAGUGGCAGCAGCAUUAUCAACGUGGGACUCCAUUAUCCUUAAGAAUGUUAGAAAAAAAUUAUUAGCAACAAAGGAAUAUAAAACAAGUAAAAUAGUAAUUGGUUUGAGGCAUGGUAUCACUAUCCUUAAGGAUAAUUUUUGGCCCUUCGGAGUAUAAAAUUUAGUGCAAAAGGACUAUAGCGGUUAUCCUCCAAGAUUCAACAAACAUUUCCUUAUAGUUUGCACAAACUAUUAAGGGAUGACAGGAACAGCAGAAAGGAAAAAACCCAGCUAGAAAAGAAAAGAGGCAGGGAAAGCUUAAAAAAAGAAAGGAGGUAGAGGAAAUUAGUGGAGAAAGCUUAAGAGAAGAAAAACUUUGGUGUGUGUUGUGAGUGAGGGUGUGAGGAUGUAUUUAUAAGCAUGGAGUAAAGUGAACGUUGCACCAAAUAAGGUAAAUGUUGUCGCAGAUUAGGGAGCUGAGAAAAACCAGGUCUGCAUUUAUACUAAGUCAGAUAAACGUUGGAGCAAAACCAAGAAAAAUGUUGGAGCAAAACUAGGAGAACUACGUAAGCAUGGUAGAGUUUGAGUUUGAUUUAAUCAAAGGCUGGAAAAGCUUAAAAAAUUAAAGCCAAGGUACAAAAAGUCACUUGAGCACGGCCCACGUGUGUAUUCUCGUGCAGGGGGGAAUUUGAAAUUUCUAAAGGUUUGGCCCAAUCUUGUGUGUGCGCGAGUCCACUCCGUUUGCCUUGCUUGCAACAAGCCCAUAGUUGGUUUUCAUAUAUAAGGCAUUCACCUUUUAUGUAUCUUGGCAAUGUGGGAUGUUUAAACCUUAUGAAAUACACUAUUUUCCAACAAUGCCCCACAUAUUUCAUAAGGUUUUAUAAGAAGUUUCGUUGGGUCAAAUUUCAUUUGAGUGUAAUGCAUCUUGACUGGUGCUUUUUAAGCUAUAAACCACCCCUAGAAAGAAUGAAAUAUAAGUCACAGAAUUUUGGUGAAGUUUGUAACUUAUAUGAACCAAAAUUCUUUAUGUGAAAUAUAAUUUUCACAAUCACAUUACACUCCCACAAUUUCUGCUAUUCAAUGUGGUUUUGAGCGAAUAGGCCAUGCGUGUGCCUGGUUAUUCAUAAGUGCUAUAGAGAAUUUGCCAUAAUUCUCAUAGGAACGGCUCCACUCCACACUUAUAUAGGUUAAUUCCAUCAAGUGUAUAUUGCAGUAUAAUAUACUAUCCAUAAGGGAUAUGGAAUGCAUUAAGAGUUUAACUCAACCUCUCUUGCAUUGCAGUUUUGCACUAUUUACAAACCAUAGGAGGGACAAUAAUUUCAAUAGUGCAUUAAUUUAUCAACAAAUAACUUGUUAUUACCUAUAUAAACCUAAUUCAUGGGAUUUCCAAUCGUAUAGGUUGGGUUACUAUUAUUUGUUGAUUUCCUCAUUUGGCUUAAGUCCCAUUCCCCUCGAUGUAGCAUUAAUUAAUUUUCUUCCUAGGGGUUUAGUUAGAGGAUUGGCCAAAUUCAGCUCUGAGUUCACAUAAUUAAUGGAUAUAAUUCCAUCUCUAAGCAACUGUUUUACUACAUCAUAUCUCAAACAAAUGUGUUUAUUUUUACCAUUAAAAGUUUUAUUCUUUGCAAUGGCUAUUGCCGUUUGGCAAUUACAAUGCAUGGACACAGAAGGUGUUCGUUUCAUUCCCAAUGGAAUAUCUGCUAAGAGGUUUCUAGAAUGGAUGGAUUUUGUUUGUGCUAAUCAUGAUGUUUGCUCUGGUUUCAAAGCAUUGCACAGGUGUUUUGGGUUUUUGCCUUUUUUUUGGAUGAUUGUCUUUGUUGAUUUCGUUGAUCCUGUUGUUUGUUCUGGUUAAAGCUGAGUUGGUCUCAUUUUUAUUGUUUUGAUGCUCCUUUGUAUUUUUGCUCUAGCUAAAGUUGAACCUGGGUUGUUUUUCCUUAUAUUUUGUUCUGCAUAUGAGUUAUUGCUUUUCUAAGAACUGCCACUAUAGAUUCCAGGUUGUACCUGAUGGGGAAUGUUCUUAUCCCCAUUUUACUUUUAUUAAUGAAGUUUUACCUUUAAAAAAAAAUGAUGUUUGGUUUAACCCAUUCCACUGUUGGCUCGGCUUUUUUCGAAGUCACUCUAACUUUUGCAUAAGGGGCUCCCUCACCACAUCUAGAACAGAUGGAUUUUCAUAUGACCAUUUGGCCUUUGCCCACCAUCCAUUUCUAAGUUUACCACAUCCUACAUUUGUCAGAUAUCCCAUAACAUCCCUUUGAAAACCAGGCCAUUUCUAUAAAAGCUGAUGUUUCAUAUAUUUGCGAAAAAGGCCAUGGGCCAAAUUGGACUACUCCCACCACAAGAAAUAAUAGCAUUCCAAGUAGUAAAUAAAGCUUUUACAUUACUUGGCAGAACCCAAUUAUACCCCCAAUUUUUAAUCCAAAGGUUCCAUACUUGUCAAGAAUAAUUGCAACCGAGGAAGAGAUGAUCCGCUGUCAGUUAAAAUUCUACUAUACAAAUAUACGUAUCAAAUAGAUAAUAUAUAAGUAAGCAAAGUAUCGAUCCCAUAGAGAAUUGAUUUAAAAUUUUAUUAAGUAUUAAAAUUAGAAUAAUUUAAUCUUAUCCAAAUACUCAAAAUUAAUUGAUUAACUAAAACUAAUUAACUAAAAUUUAAACCAAUAGGAAAAAUCAAAAUAAUAAUAACUUAUCAAAUCAAGCAAGCCUAAGAUUACAAUAUCUUUCACACUUCAUCUAAGUCUUACCUCUCUUCCUUAACUUAUUUCAAUAGGUUGAAUUGCUAACCUAGAGUCCUAAUUUAUUUAUAAGGGUCUACCGACUCAUCUUAUAAAAAUAUUUAUUUUAACCAAAUCACUAUAUCACUAUGUGAAUUGAAAUUAAAACAGACUCAUUAAGUUCAGCUCUAAUCUGGCUACAUAUGGCCUAUAGGUAUAUCCCUAUCCUAUACGCAAAUCAAUUAAUAUAAUCAUAUGCUAUCUCAAUUUUAGUCUAUACUAAACUCGCUUUCCUAAGUUUUUUUAAGUUUCUAAAUCAAUUUAAUUGGUGGUCAAGCAAUUAAAAGCAUUAAGAACAAAUUAGAAUAAACAAUUUAACUCCCAUUGAAGAUAAGUAAGAAAGAGAUUACAAAACUAGAUUAUAUAUGAGUUCAAUUGUAAUCCUAGAAAAAGAAAAUUAGCUACUCAUGAUUACAAAAACAAAUAACAUCAUAAUAAAUUCAACCAUUGAGAGUAACAAUAAAAAUAAAAGCCAAAGAAGAAAAGAAAACAAUAUUUGCCGCUUGAUAUCCAAGUUUCAGCCUCAACUACUAGCUUCUUGAAUCUCCAAAAAGUUUUUUCUAAUAUUGUUAAAUAAAUCAUAUUUAUACUAAUAAAUUUAACUUAAAAUUUCUUAAGUUGACUUAGGGUUUAAUUAAACUUAAAAGUGUAAUGAGAGGCACAAAAAUCAAUUGUCAAUCUUGGCUACUGACCCCAAAAAAUGGCAGAGCAAGCUUGUUGAAAAUCAAGAGAAGAAGAGGUAAAAUGGAGAAUCGAAAAGCAUCAGAGCAUGUGGCAUGCAAUUCGCAUACGAAUUACAGCCUCCGCUGUUUGUCGAUUUCGAUCUCGACAUCUCUUCUGGAUCGAGUUGUCUUCUCGUGGGCUCCAACGGAUCUGGGCAGACGAUAUUGUUGAAAAUUUUAGCUGGAAAGCAUAUGGUUGGUGGAAGAGAUGUUGUGAGAGUGCUAAACCGUUCGGCUUUCCAUGACACUCAACUUGUUUGCAGUGGCGAUUUAGCUUAUUUGGGUGGAUCUUGGAGUAAAACUAUUGGCUCUGCUGGCGAGGUUCCAUUGCAGGGGGACUUCUCGGCAGAACACAUGAUAUUUGGAGUUGAAGGGAUUGAUCCUGUGAGGAGAUAAAAAUUGAUUAACCUGCUUGAUAUUGAUUUGCAAUGGCGAAUGCAUUAGGUAUCUGAUGGGCAACGGCAACGAGUCCAAAUUUGUAUGGGUCUUCUUCAUCCUUUCCAGGUUCUUUUGCUAGAUGAGGUUACGGUGGACCUUGAUGUUGUUGCGAGGAUGGAUCUACUUGAUUUCUUUAAGGAGGAAUGUGAGCAGAGAGGAGCCACAAUUGUAUAUGCAACCCAUAUCUUUGAUGGGUUGGAGACAUGGGCAACACAUCUAGCUUACAUCCAAGAUGGUGAAUUGAAGAGAUCUGAGAAGUUGACAUAAGUUACUGAGUUGAAAAGCUCAGAAAAUUUGCUUUCUGUUGUUGAGGCCUGGGUUCGCUCCGAAACCAAGUGCGAGAAAAAGAAACCCAUCAAAACCCCCGCCCAAGUCCAGAAGGCCUCGCCCUUUGGUACUUCUUCUUUCAUGUCAUCCAGGCACAUGGCACACUAUCGUUGAUCUCUCUUAAUCCAGCAAUUUUUCAAUAAUUUUUUGAAAAUCGAAGCCAGAAAUACAAGUGGGGAAAGUUUUCGUCAGCUACUAUUGACGUUUGCUCUCCCCACUAUAGAAUAAUAUACUUGUUAGCUCCAUCUUGUCUAAUUAAUAGGGAAUAGCCUUUCUCUCUUUCUGGUAAUUCUGUUUAAAAAUGAUAAUGGUGAAACACAUGGUCUGUCUUUGGAAAAUAGUGUUGUAAUUUAUCAACCAUUUUGGUAAUGGAAAAAAAAAAUUGUCAAUCUUUACAAAUUUUCAUUUCCGGUAUAAUACGUCUAGCCAUUUUUCAAUACGAUUUUCUCUAUCUUCGAUGUAGAACUGUGUAAAGUGAUAUUCAUAAAAGUUGUAGCUCCGUCUCUUAGCUUUCCAAUGGUACAAGAAUCGUAUCAUUUGGAGUUCUGUUGCUCAAGUUAUGGCUAAAAUAUUAAAAUAUAUACAAGCAGACUUUCGGAUCUUUCAACAUCUCAUUUUUCAAAAUUAAGCCCAAUUUUUUUAAUUCUUACAAAAUAUAAAACUAAUAAACAAUAGCCAAAUUAAAAAGAAUAACAUAAAAUUAAAAUAACUCACUUACAAAUAAACUAAUUAUAAAAAUAACUAAAAAUAAAUAAAUUAUAAUUAAAAAUUGAAGACUUCGCUAAUAUUUAAUAACAAAAUUAGAAUAAAAUAACUCUAUAAAAUAGAAUUAUCACACCUCCAAAUUUAAGAUUUUGCUAGUUCUCGAGCAAAAGAAAAUCACAAAAAGAAAACUGAACAUAAACAAUUCUUGAACAAGAGAUAGAAGUAUCAAAUCAUGAUUUCCCAAAAUUUCUUCAAAAAUUAACUCAAAUUCCAACUUAAAGUAAACAUACAGUUAAUCCUUAAAUUUGUGCAUCAAUUCAAGUGAAAAUUUACUUUUCGAAUGGACUUCCGUGUGUGUGUGAAUGUUCUCUUACAAAGAAUAUCAUACAAUUCGGAUUAGUUUAUGCCAAAUCUAAGCAUAGAUUAGUAUUAGGAUCCUAUAAGUUUGCUUUUCAUCUCUUUCUCCAUUAAUGUAGAUUAACACUUAUUUAAGGAUCAAUAGGUUUUUAUCAAGCUUGUAAUGUAAGGCUAGGGUCAAGGUAUGAUAAAAGAUAUAUUUAGGCUCAAAUUCACCCUAAGCACUUAAUCAAUUUAGGACAUAUAAAGAGCUCGAUUUUUUUUUAUAGCACCCCCAAACUUGAAGUAAACUUUCCUUUGUACAACACACUUUAUUUCUUUUCUUUUUUUUUUUUUAAACCCCCAAACUUAUUUUUGACAAUUAUAAACUAAGGGUCAUUUUCCUAACAACCAUCACUUUUUUUUUUCACCUUUCUCCCUCAAUUUAUUCUUAAACUCAAAUCAUUCUUUAGAAAGAUUAAAAUACUUAGAAGGUGAAAGGUUCAAAUUGAUGAAUUUAAAUCGACAAACCAAGGCUAACAUAAUUGUUUAAUUAGAAAGAAAAGGUAAAUUAGGCUCAAAAAGGGUGACUAAGGAUAAAUAUAACAAGGUAGGCUCAAAAAGGCUCAAACGGUCUAAAGAUGGCUUAAAUCACUUCCUAUCCUAAGUGUUAUAUAAGAUUUUGCCUCGAGAGAGAAUCAAACAAAUUCUAAAAUUCUUGACUUCACUAUACUUUUUCAUCAAUAUAAAAUCUCUCUAAAUCACACAAAAAUUCUAAGUUAAAGAGUAUAGUGCUCAAAUUAUUGGAAGUUACAUUCUAAAAUAAAGCUAAUACAAGAAUAUCAUAUAAAAUUAAAUCAUAACUAUAUGUCUCCCAAAAGCUAAGAAUCAAAAGAUAAUUAAAAUAUCAUCCUAGGAUUGGGACAAUCAUGAAUGAGGUGCAACUAUCUCAACUUUUUUUUUGAAACACAAUAAAACAUGCAACACAUAAAUAAAUAUGCAAGACAUAUCUUAAAAUAAAGCUAACUAAAAAAAUUAACUAACAAAAUUCUAAACCACUCCCCCAAACUUGGAAUAAACAUUGUCCUCAGUAUGAUAAAAGAAAAUAAAAGAAAAAGGACAAGAAUACUCCCCUAACUCUGAAGCUGUAGUCUACAUGUCCUCCGCAUCGUCACCACCCAUUAUCUACUCUUAGCAACAAAGCAUUCAUCAAUUAUAUAUGCAGCAAACAACAAGUCCAUGAAUCCAUUAUAUGGGUAACAAGAAAUUGGCACUAUUAUUCAAAAUUUUCGGCACUCUAAGCAUUAAUCAUGAGGAAGUAUAAAAAACCCAUUAACAAACAUGCACAAUGGAAUCAUUCAAGUAGCAAAGAUUAUAGAAUUUACUAUGAACACCAACCUCAUCCUCUCUCUAUACAAAACAAUUGACAACCCAAUGUUUGGAGGAGUACUUACCUUAAGAGUGCAGGAUUUCAAAGGGAAAAUAAAAAAAAUCCAAGUAGAAAGAACAUGCAAAAAGUUUGGAGUGAAAAAGAGAAAACAGAGGAAGGCAAGAGAUUGGUAGGAGGAGGAAGAAUGGGAGUAGGUAUGGCGGCCAAAGAAGAAGAAGAAUGAAAGAAGAAGAAAAAAAAAUAAAAUGGUUUUCAAAAGGUUAAGGUUAGAGUGGCAAGUGAAGGUCGCGGCGCACAAAAUUUUUUUUCACCCCAAGCGUUACGCUUUGGGUUUGAGUGCCACGACUCUCCCUUUGAGGGCCGCUGCGCUAAAACAUUCUGUUUCAGGUUAUUUUUUUAACCUCAUCCAAGGUUGCGGCUCUCAAUUUGAGAGCCGCAACUUUGACUUUUUUUAUUUUUUUUAUUUUGAUUUUUUUGAAUUUUUUUUAAACCAAUUACUUGCAAAAGGAAACAUAAAAAAAAAAAGAAUUAGAUCACAAGAAAUAAAUUGAUACUAACAAAACUUAAAUAAAAGACGAAAAUUAGUAAGGUUAAGGAGCUUGGGCUGCUUUCCAAGAAGCACUCGUUUAUAGUCAGUAGCUUGACUAUAGCACCCUUUUUUUCAGUUCUUCAUCCUCGAAAUAUGGUCUAAGGCUCAUCUCAUUAACCAUGAUUGUUCCUGUAUCUUACUAUAAAUCUCAAUUAUUCCACAAGGAUAAGCCUUUACUACUUUGAAAGGACCCUACCAUCUUUCUUUGUGUUUCCAUGGAAAAAGCUUAAAGUAUGAUCGAGAAAGCAUCAUUACUUAUUGUCCAAUCUCGAAAGGACAAUUAGAUGGUGGUGAAGGAUGCUCCGUUGGUGACUGCUUAGGUCUCAUAGGUAGAGGUGGUAGCUUACUCUCAAAGAUUAAUGCUUGCUCACUUGUAGGUGGAGAAAUAAGUUCACCUUUGCCUUCAUCAAUUAACUCUACUUUAUAGCAACAAUAUGUAGAGCUAGGAUGUUUAUUUGCAUUGAAAAUAUUAAACUCAACUACCUCUACUCCAACUUUAAAAGUUAUAUUGCCUUCCCUCACACCAAUGAUUGCGCCUGUAAUAGCUAAGAAUGGUCGUCCCAAGAUUAAAGGAAUUUCUAGAUCUUCUUACAUCUCAAGCACAAUGAAGUCCAUCGGAAUGUAAAGAUCCCCAACUUUAACCAAUACAUCCUUAAUAAUCUCAACAGGGUACUUGAUUGUUCUAUUUGCUAAUUAUAAAGAAACUGUGGUAGGUUGUAUCUCGUUAAGUCCAAGUUUCUCAACAAUUGAGAAAUGCAUGAUUGAAACACCUGCACCCAAAUCACAUAAAGCUUUGGUAAAUUUAAAUCUAGCAAUAGUACAAGGGAUCAAAAAACUCCCUGGAUCCUUAAGUUUUGGUAGAAGCUUGUUUUGAAUUAGUGUGCUACAUUCCUCAAUAAGUGCCACUGUUUCAAAGUCUUCCAGUUUCCUCUUCUUGGUUAAGAUGUCUUUCAAGAAUUUAAUAUAACUCGGCAUAUUUUCCAAAGCUUUAGCAAAAGGGAUGUUUAUGUGGAGCUUCUUAAAGACAUUGAGAAAUUUCUCAAACUGUUUAUCAAGCUUUUUCUUUUUCAACCUUUGUGGGAAUGGUGGUGGAGGAUAAUUUGCUUCAAAAUUCCCUUGAUUUUUAGCUUGCCCGUUAUCUGUCUUUUCCACUUCAACUUUUUUCUCAACAAUUACCUUGUCAUCAUUUUCGUACUCCUUUGAAGAUUCAAUUGAUUUUUCACUCACCCCUUCAAUUUCUUUGCCACUCCUAAGGGUAAUUGCAUUACAAUGUUCCUUACUUUUGGGAUUGACUUAUGUAUCACUUGGUAAGGCACCUUGGGGUCUACUGUUGAUGGAGUUUGCAAGUUAUCCCACUUAGGUCUCAAGAUUUCUCAAGGAGGCUCCAUAGCUCUGAAUUAUGGCAUCAAUCUUGGACAUAUAUUGCAAGAUAAGUUCUUCCACUUGGGACUUUUUUUUAAGAAUUGAUGGUCUAGAUUGUUGUUGAAAACUAGGAGGCACGUUGGGGUUUGGAUUGGAAGGCCCUGCAUUAUUGUUCCAUGAAAAGUUAGGGUAGUUUCUCCAACUAGGAUUGUAUGAAUUAGAAUAAGGGUUAUUUUGCUGCCUAUUGAAGUUCCCCACAAAUUAGACUAAUGCAGAAUUGUAUGAACAUGGAUCACUUGAAUGACUAUCUCCACACAUCUCACAGACUACAAAUGAAUUUUUAACGGCAUGAACUCCCAGUGUGUCAAACUUUUUAGAUAGUGCAGCCACUUCUGCAACUACUUUAGCAGUUAAAGUGCCAAGUGCAUCAAUUUUCUAAACUUCAAUAGCUUUUCUUGGACUCGACCUUUCUGAAGGCCAUUGAUAAUUAUUUGAAGCCAUCUCUUCCAACAAAUUAUAAGCAUAUGCAGUAUUCUUACUCAUUAAUGCCCCACCAACAGUAGCUUCAAUUGUGGUUUUUAUUGACCCAACCAACCUAUUGUAAAAUGUCUGAACUUGUAACCAAUUAGGAAUCCCAUGAUGUGGACAUCUUCUCAAUAGUUCUUUAAACCUCUCCCAAGCUUCAUACAAGGAUUCACCAUCAAAUUGUGUGAAUGAGGUGAUAUCGUUCUUCAUCUUUGUCGUCUUGGCAGGCAGAAAAAAUUUUGCUAGAAAAUUUUGUGCCAAGUCUUCCCAUUUAGUGAUAAACCCAUUGGGCAGUGAAUUAAGCAAGCUCUUUGCUUUAUCCCUAAGAGAAAACGGAAACAGUCUUAAUCUAAUAGCAUCAUCAAUUUAAAGGUAUCUCAAAUCUCCAAGAAAUUUACUAAAUGAGAAUUAGGAUCAUCACUGGGUAACCCACCAAACUAGACUGAAGACUAAAUCAUUUGAAUGUAAGCUGGUUUAAUUUCGAAAUUAUUUGCAUUGAUGGAUGGUCUCCUAAUGCUUUGGUGCAAACCUUGCAACAGAGGAACAACAUAAUCUUGCAGUGCUCUAUUUGCUUCGGGAAUUAAAUUAAUGGCAUUAUUGCCAUUGUUAUUAUUAUCCUCAGCCAUUGUCUGACUUAAAGUUGCAACUUGUAAAUUCUCCCUUCGACAUCUACUAAAAGUUCUUUCUAUCUCAAGAUCAAAAGGAACAUGAUUCAAGUUGUUUCUUCUUUGCAUACAAUGACCAAAGAUAUCUGCAAACAAACAAAAUCUAAUGUUAAAACAAAAAAAAAAAGAAAAUUUGAAGUAAGACUAAAUUGCUUGGUAUUAGUAUUAAUAAAAAUUCUAGAAACAAUUCCCCAACAAUGGCGUUAAAAACUUGUCAGUUAAAAUUCUACUACGCAAGUAUACGUAUUGAAUAGGUAGUAUAUAAGCAAGCAGAGUAUCGAUCUCACAGAGAAUUAAUCUAAAAUUUUACUAAGUACUAAAAUUAGAAUAAUUUAAUCUUAUCCAAACACUCAAAAUUAAUUGAUUAACUAACUAAUUAACUAAAAUUUAAACCAAUAGGAAAAAUCAAAAUAAUAAUAACUUAUCAAUUCAAACAAGCCUAGGAUUACAAUAUCCUUCACACUUCAUCUAAGUCUUACCUCUCUUCCUUAACUUAUUUCAAUGGGUUGAAUUGCUAACCUAGAGUCCUAAAUUAUUUAUAAGGGUUUCCCGACUCAUCUUAUAAAAAUAUCUAUUUUAAUCAAAUCACUAUAUCCCUAUGUGAAUUGAAAUUAAAACAGACUUAUUAAGUUCAGACUCUAAUCUAGCUACAUAUGGCCUAUAGGUAUAUCCUUGUCCUAUACGCAAAUCAAUUAAUAUGAUCAUAUGCUAUCCCAAUUUUAGUCUACACUAAACUCCCUUUCCCAAGUUUGUUUAGGUUCCUAAAUCAAUUUAAUUGAUGGCCAAGCAAUUAAAAGCAUUAAAAACAAAUUGAAAUAAACAAUUCAAUUCCCAUUGAAGAUAAGUAAGAAAGAGAUUAAAAAUCUAGAUUACAUGUAAGUUCAAUUGCAAUCCUAAAAAAGAAAAUUAGCUACUCAUGAUUGCAAAAACAAAUAACAUCAUAAUAAAUUCAACUAUUGAGAGCAACAAAAAAAAUAAAAGCCAAGGAAGACAAAACAUUAUUUGCCGCUUGAUCUCCAAGUUUCAGCCUCAACUCCUAGCUUCUUGAAUCUCCCAAAUGUUUUUUUCUAAUAUUUGUAAACAUAUCCUAUUUAUACUAAUAAACUUAACCUAAAGUUCCUUAAGUUGACCUAGGGUUUAAUUGGGCUUAAAAGUGCAAUCAGAGGCCCAAAAAUCAAUUAUCAAUCUUUACAAAUUUCCAUUCCUAGCACAAUACGUCUAGCAAAUUUACAACAUGAUUUUUCUAUCUUCAAAGCAGAACUAAGUAAAGUAAUCUUCCUGAAAUUUGUAGCUCUAUCUCUUAGCUUUUCAAUGGUCUAAGAAUCGCAUCAUUUGGAGCUAUGUAGCUCAAGUUAUGGCCAAAAUGCUAAAGCAUAUGCAAAUAGACUUUUGGGUCUUUCAACAUCUCACUUUCUAAUAUUAAGCACAAUUUCUUUUAGUUCCUACAAAAUAUAAAAACUAAUAACAAUAACCAAAUUAAAAAGAAUAACAUAAAAUUAAAAUAACUCACUUAAAAAUAAACUAAUUAUAAAAAUAAUUAAAAAUAAAUAAAUUAUAAUUAAAAAUUAAAGACUUAGCUAAUAUUUAAUAAUAAAAUUGAAAUAAAAUAAUUCUAUAAAAUAAAAUUAUCAUCCGCCGUCUCUAUCUCUUUAUUACAAAUAAGGCAUAAAGCAACAUUCUCAUUGAUGAUGCCCCUUUUAAGCUCUCUUUUAACCGCCACUUUCCCAUGGAGGACUUGUCAACAAAAGACUUCUACUUUUGAAGGAACAAUAUUGGAUCAAACCGCUUUCCAUAGAUUACGAUCUUUCCACUAUUACAAAUAAGAUAUUACAGUAUAUUUAAACCCUCUAAUCCAUUAAAAGGUUCAUCUAAAAGAUUAACGCUAUAAUUAAAAAGACAAAGACGUUUCAAAUACCAUAAAUGAGAUAGAGUCAAUGGACAUUCUAGUUGUAUGUAUCCCAUUUGAUAAUCUAACCUUAUUUAUAAUCUAAGAUGGAUGAUAAAAGAAUUUGGCAUGCACCUAUGUCUAAAGCAACUUUUUUUGAAUAGUUCAUUGAAGUAAGGUACCAUGAUUUCGGUUUGAGUCAAACUCUUUUGUCAAAAUUCAUACUUUAUCUCUAAAACAAGUUCAUGGGUCACAUCAAAGUCAGCAAGCAAUGACUAGAUUUUAAUGACUAAAUAUUUUGAUAAGUAAAUUCCAGAUUGAGCUUUCAAUAAGAAAAUAUCAUGGCAAGCCCAGGUUUACGAUUGUUAAUAACAUUUCAUUAGUAAAGAAAUAUAUCAAGGGUUCCCUUUUGUUUUCUAUAUUUCGUACCUCAUACACACGAACAGAUAAGUCUAUGAAUAAAGAAAUACAAGUAGUGGAUAGAACAAAGGUAAAUAAUGAUAAUGCUUUAAAUUUCAAUAAUUUAUUUAUUAGACAUAUGUAUCAUAGUUGAACAAGAAAUUAAAUAAGCAUGAAGUUUAAACUUUAAACACCUAACAACAAGCAUGAAAUCUUUGCUAUAGAACUAAUUAAAACAGAAUAACAACACAAUAAUUAAAGCUUAAGGGAUAAAUCAAUCUUUGAAGCAUCAUUGUUAUCACUUCCUGAAGGAUUGCUUGGUUGAAGAUAAUCGCUUCUAGCAGCCUUGUUUGUUGCAACGUUUGCCUGAGAAAUAUCACUAAAGCUGCAAGGUGCACCAGUUUCCUGAGAUCUUGAAGAACUUGAAGGCCCUGAAAUACCAAAUCCACCAUUGUUCAUGCUUAACCUUUCAUUAAUAGUUGGCCGAGGAGGGGUCAGUAUGGCUUGCCUAGACCAACCAUGACCAAGAUGAUGAAAUCCGCCGAUCGAUGUCCAAGGAUAUGAAGGCUUAUGGAUCAUGGAGUCUAGUCUAACCCCAAGGGGUGAUCUAUUCAAAGAUCCAUAAAAAGGGUGUGGAGAUAUGGUUGAAUAAGGGUUAUAGGGAUAAGGUGGAAAGCUAAAACCAUUCACAUCCAUCCCUUGACGCCUUUUGGCUAAUGCACGUUCUUGUUUGUGAGCAUUUUGAUGGCCCCCCAAGGCUUGAGAAGUAGAGAACUCUCUCUUGCAGUAAUUGCAAGAGAAAACCCUAUUUGAAUCAUCAGAUCGCUUUUCGCGCGGGGUCUGGUGAUCACCAGAGUCCUUUGAGUGAGACGAAGUAGGGCUCAUAGGGUUGAAAAGAUUGAGUUCUAUCUUUGGUUUGCAUAGCGAAUCAUCACUGAAAAGUUUCAAGUCAAGCAAAAUACCAAGACUUGAUUCAGAUGCUUUGGCAGCUUCAUUAACCUUGUUGGGUGUAACUCCUUCCAAGGUUGCUGAUAUGCUAGAGGCUUCAGAAGGGCAUAGUUCUGCACUAAUUAUAACCAUGGCUAAAAGAUGUUUGGUUUAGGGGUGAAAUUGAGGGGCAUAGUUUUGGUGUUUAUAUUCAAGGUUUGGUCAAUGAAAUAUCCUUCCAAUUAUGGAAAGAAAUCCCAUUGUGUUGUUGUUACUUGCAUCAUUUUAGCUCAAGAUUAAAAUCAUGACUAAGCUUGUCAAGAUUUUGUGUCUUAGGAAAUGCUUGCCAUCAAAUACUUCUAAAGGGGUAUCAAACUACUAUGUGAACACAAUUGCUUACUUAAUAGGUCAAACUUCUGUAAAAGAGUCAUUGAUAUUUUGUGGAAAUCAAUGGUCAUAAUAAGGUGUAUACUACUCCUUUUACACCUAUGUCUCCCAAAUUAAGCUUAAUAACAUUGAAUAGUUUAUGAAAGCAUUGAUAUUAUAUCCUUUUAAAGAUAUAAUUUUGCUCUAUAAAUCAAUUCCAAGUGUGUUUGUAAUCAAGCCUGAGAAUUGAGGUUCAAAAUUAAACAAUAGUUUAUCACAAGUUAAAUAGAAAAUAUAAUUUAUGAUUGCAUAAAUAAUGAAGGGAAUAUACAUCAUGUUUGAUAUAAGCAAAGCUUAAUUAAAAAAUUAUCAUUUAUGCUAACCUCUGAAUUUAACAGAGAAACUUCUAUAUAUAACUAGAAUAGUGAAAUGAUGGGUGGCCUUAUGAUCAUGAGAAUAUUUACCAAAUUUCAUUUUUUUCCUUUUUCUUUCUCUUGUUAACUAUUUUCCUAAUGCGCCAUAAAAUCCUGAUUUUUCUUUUGAGAAAUAUCAUGAGAGUUAGAUAUAGAUCUUUUUUUAAAUGGUAAUUAAAUCCUAUGGGUGUAGUUGAAAGUAAGAAAUAGAAGAAUUUGGAAGGUGUUGGGCAGGAUAGAGAUGUGAGGCAUCAAUUUUACAGUCAUUUAGGAUAAGAAUGAAGCUGGUUAAGAAUAAAUUAUAGUAAGAUUCAAAAAUGUUGACCAAUGUGUAAGCCCUAGUUGGUAUCAGGUUGUUCUUGCCUAAAAUUAAUUAAAGUUUUGGAAUCUUAUUUCCUUGACAGAAUUUAAUGCUUAGCAUAAAUAAUCUUGACAUAUAUAGGUGAGAUAUUUAUGGGAUGAGUUUUGGCUGAACCAUAGAUGUAAAUCUGGUGUUUGAUCUCUAAUACUAAGAAGAUUGUUUGACUUCAAAGUUCAAAUAACGAUCCCAAAAUUUAUCAUAUAUUAAUUUGAGCUUGAAAGAAAAUUAAUCAAGUAAUGGGGAUUUUUUUUUUGUAAGACAGUUUAACUUACUUAACAUUAGGAGUAAUUAGGACAAUAGUAACGAGAGUCAAAGAGGGUUUUUAUUUAUGAACUAGAUAGCUUCCCAUGAUGUUUUGGGAAAUUUUUUUUAAGAAAUAGUUUUUCUACAAAUUUAAAAUCAUUUAUCUAAUAUGUAGCAUCCAACAUCUGAUUAAAUGGUACCUAUAUAUACCUCCGCAUUUUAAAAAAAAUGAAUUUAAAUUCCCUCUUCUCUAAAUAGAAAAAUUAUUUACCUUCAAAUGAAAAAAAGUAUGACACUAAUUAAAAUGACCCGAAACUUCAAUAGUAAAAAAAUUAAAGAGAGAGAUAUUAGAAGCCCUAGCACAAGUCCAAAAUAGGGUAAGGAAAUCAAAAAGUCGAGGUUAUAUGUUAAAAUAUGAUCAAGAAAUUAUUGUCACAUUUUCUUUUGCAAGUAUGAUUUUAGGCUAUACAAUGAGAAACAACUUUCUUUCAUCUUAAGUUUUACCUAUUGCAAUGUCCAUUUUGGAGAUAUUAUCACAUUUGAUAAAAUAGUAGUAUAGCAAUCAACAUAGUUCACAUAAAGUUCUUCAUUAUUUUAGUUAAAAUACUAUUUAAAAUUGUAAAGUGAAAAAAAAUUGAUCAAUAUUAAGUUGUUUUAAGUCCCUUGCAAGAUUGUUAAAGAAAAGGAACAAAAAGAAGAAAGAAAAAGAAGAAAAUAAUGAAAGAAUUGUUGGUAUAUUUUCAAAAUGAAAGAUUAUGUCUCUUCAUAUGAAAAAUUGUAAAUGAAAAGUUAUAUUUUUUCAUUUGAAAAGUUGUAACUAUUGGAAAGACACAUUAAUUAAAAAGUUACAUCACAUAUUGUGACUAUUAGAUUGUUGAUGGUUUUUCAUAUCAAAAGUUAUAUCUCUUAAUAAAGUGAUAUUUGGAAAAAUACCUCUAAAUCCAAACAUUAUGAGACAAUUGAAAAACACCACUCAUAAGUUAUGCUAUGAAAAGUUAUUUUUUCAUAUUGUUACUUAAAGGUUAUAUCUUAUGAUAUGAAUGCUAUACAUAAGUACAUUAUUAUUUAGGUUCCCAUAAGAGUUAUAAGUAUAAUAUAAUUUCUUUUUAUUUAAUUUUACUUGUAUUAGGAAGUUAAGCUAGUUAUGUUCUAUUUAAGAAUAGAACACCUAUUUUAUUUAAAUCUCUUGUUAACUACUUUAGUUGUAUAAGACAACUUGAAGUAGAAAUUUAUUAGGACGUGGACCUAUAAUACUACAAAUAGGACCUUUAGGCUUAGUUAUUGUUCACAUUGAAAUUGAAAAUUAAUAAAGAAUAUUUUCUUUAGUAAGCAAGAAUGCUUAUUUUCUUUGGGCUCUUUUCAAAAGAGUAAGAGGUUCUAAUAUCUUUGGCUUGGCCAACUAAAGUGGGAUUUUGGCUAUCUUUUCACCUUAUUGGGGUUUUCAACCUUUCCAAGAUUAGUGAUUUACCUUAGUGGAGUUUCUAAUCUCGCCAUAAUUGAUGUAUUUCACAAUGCCUAUGUGUCUUUACAACACCCCGACGUCAAUUUGGAAUUAAAGUAAGAAGAUCAUUAUUCGUUGUGUAGUUUGGGCUUUUGUCAUUGUUCGUUUCGACUCUCAUUGUUGAGCCAACAAAAUACCACCAAGAUGCCAAAAUCGUCAAAUAAAUGAUCACAAGAUCGAGAUUCAAGAACUAUGUCACCAAAUUCAAAAAUUACAAGAGCAACUCGCAAGACGUGAUACUGCUCAAAUCAACAAUGGCAGUUGUAGUGAUUAACAAAAUGAUACCAACCCUUUUCAUCAAAAAUUUUCCUUUAAUGAAAAAGUACCUAUUCAUUGCCUAAGAGCUACUAUUACUCGAGAUUUGGGAAUCAAGAAACUUCUAAAGCUCCAAACGUCAUGAAACGACUUUAGUGCUAUCUUACAAUUGAAGGUUGUUGCCUUCGGAGUUGUAAAAGAAUUGUAUGAGAAAGAUCCUAAUUUUGGUGAGAUAUGGAAGUCCAGUUCUCAGCAUCCUUAUCGACAAUUUCACUAACAAAAAUAAUAUCUUUUCAAAGGUAACCAACUAUGCAUCCUUUAAUGUUCUCUAUGCCAAUCUAUUAUCUGCGAAACUCAUAAUGGAGGAUUAGCUGGACAUUUUAGGAGGGACAAAACAUUGGCUUUUGUGAACAAAAAGUUUUAUUGGCCCAAGCUGGAGCAAGAUAUCAUUCGACAUAUUCAAAGGUGUCAUAUUUGCCAUAUUUGCAAGCUUGGAAAUCAAAACACUAGUACGUAUAAACCAUUACCCAUUCCUGAAGCUCCUUAGAUAGAUGUGAGUAUGGACUUUGUUUUGGGUUUGCCAAAAACUCAAAGGCAAAGGGACUCUAUAAUGAUGGUUGUCGAUAGACUUUUCAAAAUGGCUCAUUUUGUGCCAUGCCACAAAACUGAUGAUGCUUCUCACACAAUCGAUUUGUAUUUUAAAGAAAUUAUAUGUCUUCAUGGAAUUCCAAAAACCAUCACUUCAAAUCUAGAUGUGAAGUUCAAGAGACAUUUCUAGUGAACUCUCUAGAGAAAAAUGGGAACUCAUUUGCACUUUAGUUCAGCAAGUCACCCUCAAACAGAUGGUUUAAUAAAAGUGGUCGACAAAAAUUUAGGAAACUUAUUAUGAAGCUUUCUGUAGGUAAACACAUUCGCCAACGAGAUCUUGUGUUAGCACAAGUAGAAUUUUCUUACAAUAAUUCUGUGAGCCAAACCACUAAAAGAUGUUCAUUUGAAAUAGUGUAUGGAAAACUGUCAAACCCUGCUUUGUAAAAUAAUUAUAAUAUCAUUCACAUUCUCGAUAGAAUGUUUGUAUAUUUAGGAAGUUCGAGAAAUCGUUAAAAGACGAUAUUGUCGCUAAUGGUAUCAUUAAGUCGAUUAAGCCUCGAACUAGUUCAAAUAGGAAUUUUAAGGUGAAAUUAAGAGUUUCACAGUUCAGGGAUGACUCAAAAUGGUAAUUAGGAGUUCGAGGAUCAAUUCGGAGUCAAAUUGAAAUUUUCACUAUAUAGGGGUAAAAUUGUAAUUUUUCCAUCUGCGGACAAAAUUUGAGAUUUUGAGAGAAUUUAGAUCACAUUUGACAAAUUGGGGAAUGAUAUGAGUAUAAGGGAUAAAAAAUAUGUCUAUGGGCAAUUUUUCAGUUUUUGGGGCAAAAAUGUAAUUUUUGAUUUUUACGGGGGCAAAAGUGUAAAUAUCAAAAAUUACUUCACCAAGACUUUGGAUAAGUUUGAGAAUUUUAUCUAAGUUAUGGAUAUUUUAAGGAAUAAUGUGUGGUGGAGAUUUAAAGCUUAAAAGAUAAGAAUUUAAAAAAUAGACCAAUAAUGUAGUGACAUGUGGCAAGUUUAGAUUAUUUUAUUAUUUAACUAUAAAAAUCAGCCCACACCACCAUUUUCUCUUCAUUAUGGCCGGCCAUAGCAAGAAAACAAAGGGGAAAAGAAAAACAAAAACCUAGGGGGAGAAAUUCAAGGAAAAAUUGGUGAAAAUUCAAGGAAACAAGUGACCAAAGGUAAAAUUUCUUGAUUUUGACUUGUGCUUUACCUUUCCCAUGCAUUUCCCAUCAUUUUCCAUGGUUGAAUCAUGUGAUUUGAGGAUGAAUUCAAUUCUGGAAAAAUGGGUUAGGAGAGAGAAACUUGUUAGAUUAAUUUGAUUUUAAGUUAUGUUAGUGUUUUAAGUUAGUUUAGCAUAUUUAGGAACAAAACAACAAGAAAAGAAUUUAUUUUCCUCCAUUACCAUUAUUGGCUGAAUUUUCUAGGGGAAUAUUGGCUGAUGAUCUUGAUGUUUAUUUGAGGAAUUAUGAUGAAUAAUGAUGAAUUAUGAGUCUAGAAAAAUAAUGGAAAUUUUUGGAGCAAAAAUAUGAAUUUUUACCCAUUAGGGGUAUUUUCGUAAUUUGCUAUCAGGACUGAUAAUUUGCACCACACCGAGGGACAUUAAGUCAAUUUGGGUGCAAUUGAGGUAUAGAAACUGAAAAAAAUUAAUUUGAGAUUAAAUUGGACGCGUUAGUAAUUUAAUCGGGUAAUAGGCCGAAUUAGGUCAGCACCGCAUUUAAGCGGUAGUCGGAUAAGUUGCAUGUCAUAUCAUGCAUAUAUACCGAGCCUGAAUUGAUUUUAUAAUGGUCAAGCAUUGAUGUGGUGAAUUAUGUAUUGUACAUUGUGGAUAGGUGGUGAGCAAAUUACACUGGUAAAAGUACAGAAAUUGUGCUUGAAGACUGGGAUUAGGAGUACAUCGACUCCUAGAACUGUGAGUGGACAAUUUAUCGUCUUAAAUAUCUAGAGUAAUUAUACUUGUUUGAUGCUUUUAUUGAAUGGUGAGUUUAAAUUAUAAAAUAUUAUGUUUUCCAAUUAAAAUGUUUUUUAAUAAAAAUGAGAUUUAUACUGGUUUUGAAAUCAAAUAUUGUUUUGGGAAAAUUGAGUAUAUGGAGACUGUGUUGAAAUUUAUGAUUUUAUAUGUUAUUGAAAUUGGGGCUUAUGACACUAUGGUAGCAUGAUGGCUAAAUUUUUGGGGUUGGCAUGAAAUAUAUGAACAAUUUUGGAUUGGUCUCGGUAGACUGGAUUACAUUUUAUUCGCCAUAUUAUGCUACUGGAAUUUUUAUGGGUCUGGUGGUAUAUUAAACGGUCACUGCAGUGGUGGGGGUUUUCGUGGACUGCCUAUGAGAGGGGCACGGUAACUCAAUUAUAUACUUACCUCCGGGGGGAGAUGUUGGGUGAAGUAUCUCCUGAGGUAUGAUUUGAGUGCACCUCACGUUCGGGCCACCACGUGAGAGUGAGACUCAGCCAACGCCAAGGAACGGCUGUGUGUCAGAUGUGAAAACAUGUUUAUGGGUAUGGGUCAUUGAACAGCCUUGGCGGUCUCAGUGGGAUACCUUGACGAAGGUACCCGCGAGAAUGAUAUUGGCAGGGGCCAAGUUUAAAAAAAUUCAUAAGUCGGGGAAAUUUUGAUGAAAAGAAAUUAUUUGGUAUAGAUUGAAACGAAUUUUGUGUUAUGAACAUUAUUGAGAUAUAACGUUUUUAUAUUGUCUCCAUCUACUCGGCUUUAGAUGCUUUUGAUGGUAAUUGUUUACUCACUGGGAUUAUUUAAUCUCACCCCUCUUCCUAUCCAUUUUUCAGGCUCAGGACAGUUUGUUGAUAGUUGAUUAAGACGAGAAUUAAUCUCGGAGUUGCAUCAUAGGAAGUAAGGGUUCGUAGCUCUACACCUUCUUGGUUAGUUGGGGGCCCACGUGUCACUGUAAACGAAAUUUCAUACUUUAAUUAUCUUUAUUACUAUAUGAAUAAAUUUAUUUUACUCUUACGCUACAAAAGUUAUUUUAGGAAGACUUUGAAAAUAUUGUGUUUUAAGAAAAUAGAAUAUUUUAUUUAAUGUUUUUAUUAUAUUCAAAUAGCUAUAAUUUUACUUUAAACGAAUGUUUUAGACUUCAAAAUUUAAUUUAAAUCAUGAAAUAUGUGUUUCCACUUACAUAUUACAUUUUUUCGGAUUUCGAAAUUUCAAAAAAAAAAUGACGAAAAUGCCCCAGUGAGCUAGAAAAUAAUAUUUUUAUUGUUUUGAGUUGGAAACAACUUAUGAUUUCUUGAAAUGCGAGAUUUAAUAACUGUCGCUCACCGGGGAGAUGCGGAAGUUGAUGCUAAGCCUUGCGGGGUUUCGAUCGGCAUUCGGGGUAAUGAGUGCUUAUCGGGACGUCGCGGCGGUUGUCACGGGCCCGAUGGGAGUUCCGGGUCGUGACAAUUAGAUUGGUAUCAGAGCAUGGUUUAAAGAUCAAAGAUUUUGAUUUUAAAGCUUUGGAUUUCAAAGUUUUUGAUUUUAAAGUUGUUUUAAGAAAUCCACACUGACACUGCGUGGCCCAAGUUAAGUUAAGUUAAGUAAGUCAAGUUAAGUUAGGUUAUAUCGAGUUAGUUGCAUAUAGAAUUUAAAGUCAUCUAAGUCUAUUCCAUUUCUUAUUGUAGAGUACCAUGCCUCCUCGACGUGGGCGUCCACCUCUCUAUAGGUCAGUAGGGAGGGGAAGAGGCCGUGCUAGACUUAGUCAGCCAGAUCCCGUGGAAAGGGAGUCUGCUGCACCUACUUUUCGAGCAGCACCUGCUGUUGAGCCUACUGAGAUUCCUCCACCUCCUCCACCACCUACUGCUACUCCUGGUGUUCAUGCCAUGUCUCUUGAGGCAGUCCAGGCAUUAGCAGCUUUUCUUAAUGUCAUUAUGGGCCAAGCUCAAGCUGGUCGAGUCCCUCAUACUGUUCCCCCAGCAGUAUCUCCAGUGCCACCACCACCACCUCUUGUUCCACCACCAGUGCCAGAUGUCUCCAUUUCCAAAAAGCUUAAGGAAGCUAGGCAGCUGGGUUGCACUUCUUUUGUUGGUGAUUUGGAUGCAACCGCAGCUAAAGAUUGGAUUACUCAGGUAACGGAGACAUUUGUGGAUAUGAAAUUGGAUGAUGAUAUGAAGUUAAUGGUGGCCACAAGAUUACUAGAGAAGAGGGCUCGUACAUGGUGGAGCUCGGUAAAAUCACGUUCCAUUACUUCGUUGACUUGGAUAGACUUCCUACAAGAAUUCGACGGUCAAUACUACACCUACUUUCAUCAAAAAGAGAAGAAGAGAGAAUUCCUAAGUUUACAACAAGGGAAUUUAACCAUAGAAGAGUACGAGGCUCGUUUUAACGAGCUGAUGUCAUAUGUGCCAGACCUGGUGAAGUCUGAGCAAGAUCAAGCUAGUUAUUUUGAAGAAGGGCUCCGUAACGAGAUCAGAGAGAGGAUGACUGUGACAGGCCGGGAGCCUCAUAAAGAAGUUGUACAGAUGGCUUUAAGGGCCGAAAAACUCACGAAUGAAAAUCGGAGAAUGCGAGCUGAGUUUGCAAAGAGGAGAAACCCGAAUGUAUCCUCUAGUCAACUGCCCAAAAGAGGUAAGGACACAUUUGCUUCUGAGAGUACUGUUUCUGUUCCGGUGAUAUCUCCUCGACCCCCACUUUCACAGUUACAGCAGAGACCUCCGAGAUUUAACAGGUCUGGGAUGAGUAGUACUUCCGAGAAGAGUUUUGGAGGUUUAAAUAAAUGCGAAAAAUGUGGGAGAUAUCAUGUUGGGGAGUGUUGGGGCAUAAGAUGCUUUCAUUGUGACCAGCCGGGCCACAUUAGGAGUGACUGCCCACAGUUAGGACGGGCUACAGUAGCUGCUCCAUCCCCACUAACUCAUACGGAUAUGCAGAGGAGAGAUUCCUCUGGAGUACACCCGAGGCAGGGGGUAACUGUACGAUCUGAAAUGGGUAGCAACACCCCAGCACAACCACCUUUGAGGCCAUUGACUCGUUCUUCAACAAGAGUUUUCGCUGUAACGGAAGAUGAAGCACGAGUCCGAUCUGGAGAAAGUGAGUGAAAAGUUAGACGAAGGUGUAAAAUAGUGAUAGGGGAUGUAAAUACCAAGUGAUGGACGUGUAAAUAAAGGUUUCAAGAAUAAUAUAGUAAAUGAGUUCAUAUGGAAUAUGGUUGUAAGAAUUUCUUACUAUAUUGUGGAAAUUAGAACUCAAAAAUACUUGAGGUAUACAAAGUUCAAAUGAACUUAAAUCUUAAGCAAUAAAUUGAUGUCGAAAUACAAGAAGGAUACAAAGCAAUAUAGAGGCACGAAAGAUGAUUAAGGACAAAGGGAUGACUCUGAGGAAUUAUGAUACUGCAUCGUAUGCGAUGAUUAAAUCAAGAUAGAUCUUGGAUGCAUAAAUGGGAUUAUAAAGCAUAUACACAUAUGUGGGGUUGAUAUUGUGAUUAACUAAAAUAAAGAAUGAUUUUUAGUGAAUUAAGAUUCCCUAUAAAGGAGAUAACAGGAGAAGUUGAGCAUCGAAUAAAAGAUAAUACCCCGCCUUUUCUUUGAGUUAAUAAGUGAAAUUUUGAGGACAAAAUUUUAUUUUAAGGGGGGUAGUGUUGUCAAACCCUGCUUUGUAAAAUAAUUAUAAUAUCAUUCACAUGCUCGAUAGAAUGUUUGUAUAUUUAGGAAGUUCGAGAAAUCGUUAAAAGACGAUAUUGCCCCUAAUGGUAUCAUUAAGUCGAUUAAGCCUCGAACUAGUUCAAAUAGGAAUUUUAAGGUGAAAUUAAGAGUUUCACAGUUCAGGGAUGACUCAAAAUGGUAAUUAGGAGUUCGAGGAUCAAUUCGGAGUCAAAUUGAAAUUUUCACUAUAUAGGGGUAAAAUUAUAAUUUUUCCAUCUGCGGACAAAAUUUGAGAUUUUGAGAGAAUUUUGAUCACAUUUGACAAAUUGGGGAAUGAUAUGAGUAUAAGGGAUAAAAAAUAUGUCUAUGGGCAAUUUUUCAGUUUUUGGGGCAAAAAUGUAAUUUUUGAUUUUUACGGGGGCAAAAGUGUAAAUAUCAAAAAUUACUUCACCAAGACUUUGGAUAAGUUUGAGAAUUUUAUCUAAGUUAUGGAUAUUUUAAGGAAUAAUGUGUGGUGGAGAUUUAAAGCUUAAAAGAUAAGAAUUUAAAAAAUGGACCAAUAAUGUAGUGACAUGUGGCAAGUUUAGAUUAUUAUAUUAUUUAACUAUAAAAAUCAGCCCACACCACCAUUUUCUCUUCAUUAUGGCCGGCCAUAGCAAGAAAACAAAGGGGAAAAGAAAAACAAAAACCUAGGGGGAGAAAUUCAAGGAAAAAUUGGUGAAAAUUCAAGGAAACAAGUGACCAAAGGUAAAAUUUCUUGAUUUUGACUUGUGCUUUACCUUUCCCAUGCAUUUCCCAUCAUUUUCCAUGGUUGAAUCAUGUGAUUUGAGGAUGAAUUCAAUUCUGGAAAAAUGGGUUAGGAGAGAGAAACUUGUUAGAUUAAUUUGAUUUUAAGUUAUGUUAGUGUUUUAAGUUAGUUUAGCAUAUUUAGGAACAAAACAACAAGAAAAGAAUUUAUUUUCCUCCAUUACCAUUAUUGGCUGAAUUUUCUAGGGGAAUAUUGGCUGAUGAUCUUGAUGUUUAUUUGAGGAAUUAUGAUGAAUAAUGAUGAAUUAUGAGUCUAGAAAAAUAAUGGAAAUUUUCGGAGCAAAAAUAUGAAUUUUUACCCAUUAGGGGUAUUUUCGUAAUUUGCUAUCAGGACUGAUAAUUUGCACCACACCGAGGGACAUUAAGUCAAUUUGGGUGCAAUUGAGGUAUAGAAACUGAAAAAAAUUAAUUUGAGAUUAAAUUGGACGCGUUAGUAAUUUAAUCGGGUAAUAGGCCGAAUUAGGUCAGCACCGCAUUUAAGCGGUAGUCGGAUAAGUUGCAUGUCAUAUCAUGCAUAUAUACCGAGCCUGAAUUGAUUUUAUAAUGGUCAAGCAUUGAUGUGGUGAAUUAUGUAUUGUACAUUGUGGAUAGGUGGUGAGCAAAUUACACUGGUAAAAGUACCAAAAUUGUGCUUGAAGACUGGGAUUAGGAGUACAUCGACUCCUAGAACUGUGAGUGGACAAUUUAUCGUCUUAAAUAUCUAGAGUAAUUAUACUUGUUUGAUGCUUUUAUUGAAUGGUGAAUUUAAAUUAUAAAAUAUUAUGUUUUCCAAUUAAAAUGUUUUUUAAUAAAAAUGAGAUUUAUACUGGUUUUGAAAUCAAAUAUUGUUUUGGGAAAAUUGAGUAUAUGGAGACUGUGUUGAAAUUUAUGAUUUUAUAUGUUAUUGAAAUUGGGGCUUAUGACACUAUGGUAGCAUGAUGGCUAAAUUUUUGGGGUUGGCAUGAAAUAUAUGAACAAUUUUGGAUUGGUCUCGGUAGACUGGAUUACAUUUUAUUCGCCAUAUUAUGCUACUGGAAUUUUUAUGGGUCUGGUGGUAUAUUAAACGGUCACUGCAGUGGUGGGGGUUUCCGUGGACUGCCUAUGAGAGGGGCACGGUAACUCAAUUAUAUACUUACCUCCGGGGGGAGAUGUUGGGUGAAGUAUCUCCUGAGGUAUGAUUUGAGUGCACCUCACGUUCGGGCCACCACGUGAGAGUGAGACUCAGCCAACGCCAAGGAACGGCUGUGUGUCAGAUGUGAAAACAUGUUUAUGGGUAUGGGUCAUUGAACAGCCUUGGCGGUCUCAGUGGGAUACCUUGACGAAGGUACCCGCGAGAAUGAUAUUGGCAGGGGCCAAGUUUAAAAAAAUUCAUAAGUCGGGGAAAUUUUGAUGAAAAGAAAUUAUUUGGUAUAGAUUGAAACGAAUUUUGUGUUAUGAACAUUAUUGAGAUAUAACGUUUUUAUAUUGUCUCCAUCUACUCGGCUUUAGAUGCUUUUGAUGGUAAUUGUUUACUCACUGGGAUUAUUUAAUCUCACCCCUCUUCCUAUCCAUUUUUCAGGCUCAGGACAGUUUGUUGAUAGUUGAUUAAGACGAGAAUUAAUCUCGGAGUUGCAUCAUAGGAAGUAAGGGUUCGUAGCUCUACACCUUCUUGGUUAGUUGGGGGCCCACGUGUCACUGUAAACGAAAUUUCAUACUUUAAUUAUCUUUAUUACUAUAUGAAUAAAUUUAUUUUACUCUUACGCUACAAAAGUUAUUUUAGGAAGACUUUGAAAAUAUUGUGUUUUAAGAAAAUAGAAUAUUUUAUUUAAUGUUUUUAUUAUAUUCAAAUAGCUAUAAUUUUACUUUAAACGAAUGUUUUAGACUUCAAAAUUUAAUUUAAAUCAUGAAAUAUGUGUUUCCACUUACAUAUUACAUUUUUUCGGAUUUCGAAAUUUCAAAAAAAAAAUGACGAAAAUGCCCCAGUGAGCUAGAAAAUAAUAUUUUUAUUGUUUUGAGUUGGAAACAACUUAUGAUUUCUUGAAAUGUGAGAUUUAAUAACUGUCGCUCAUCGGGGAGAUGCGGAAGUUGAUGCUAAGCCUUGCGGGGUUUCGAUCGGCAUUCGGGGUAAUAAAUGCUUAUCGGGACGUCGCGGCGGUUGUCACGGGCCCGAUGGGAGUUCCGGGUCGUGACAAAAACGUUCUCUUAGUCCUUUGAACCUUCCUGUGUUACCAACUACUCGUGAAUUUAGCGCUGAUGCUAAAAAACAUGCUAAGCAAAUCAAGAAACUUCAUGAAGAAGUUCAAGAAAAGAUUAUUUAUCAAAAUACCAACUACCAAAAGCAAGCCAAUAAUUACAAAAAGCUAGUUAGUUUAAAAAAGAGACUUAGUAUGGAUUCACUAAGGAAAUAACGUUUUCCUAAGUCAUAGGUAAAAUUAUCUCCUCAAGCUAAUAGACCAUUUCAAGUCUUGAAAUGUAUUAAUGAGAAUGCUUACAAGAUUAAACUUCCUAGGGAUUAUGAAGUUUCUUAUACUUUCAACAUAAAUGAUCUCUCUCUUUACUAUGGAAACACGAAAAAGACAUGGAUCUUGAAAACAAUUUUUCUUCAACUUAAAGAGGAUGACACAUGAGUAUAUUAUUAUUUAGGUUUCCAUAGGAAUUAUAGGUAUAAUAGAAUUCCUUUUCUUUAAAUUUACUUGUAAUAGGGUUUUAGGCUAGUUAUGUUCUAUUUAGGAAUAGAACACCUAUUUUAUUUAAAUCUCUUGUUAACUACUCUAGUUGUACUUGACAACCUGAAGUAGAGUUUUAUUAGGGCGUGGGCCUAUAAUGUUAUAAAUAGAACAUGGGCCUAUAAUACUAUAAAUAGGACCCUGAAGCUUAAUUAUUAUUCACAUUGAAGUUGAGAAUUAAUAAAGAAUAUUUUCUUUAAUAAGCAAAAGUGCUUAUUUUCUCGAAGCUCUUUUCAAAAGAGUAAGAGGUUGUAGUAUUUUUGGCUUAGCAAAACAAAAUGGGAUUUUGGCUAUUUUUUCACCUUAGUGAGGUUUUCAAUCUUACCAAGAUUGGUGAUUCACAUUAGUGAAUGUCUUUCACAACGCCCAAGUGUCUUCACAAUGCCGUAGUGUCAAAAUGGUUGUCCUUUCAUAAGAUAAUUGUUAGAGCAAUUAAUACCUUUAUCCAAAGAUUAUGUCUUGUGACAUGUAAAGGUUUGUUUACAACAUAGAGAUGCCUUAAUGAAAGGGUUGUGUCUUUAGAAAAAUACAUUUACAAGUUUAUAUAAAGGACUUGCUAGCAACCAUUUUGCCACAUAACAACACAACAAAAAGAAAGGCAAGAGUAGAAAAACAAGAGUAAGAAAAGUGUUAUGUUCUAAAUAAAAUUCAAAUAAAGAUAUAAACACUUUAUGUUACCACCGUUUGCCAAAAGUGUCCAAAUUCCUUAUAAUCUACUUGUUACAGAAAAUAGGCUCUAAGGCCAAACAACUUUGCAAUCCUUAGGUAUGUCUAAUGAUUUAACCACAUAAGCGCAAGAUAAAUUUAGAUGUUAGCUUCAUUUUAUACUUAAGGCUAUUCACAUAAUUCCCCUUUUGCAUACCCAGUAGUAGGGGCGAAAUAAGUCUAAAGGAUAAUGUCUAUAAAGGCACGUUUUGAAGUCAAUUUUACCAGUUUCUUUAAAUUUCAACUAAACUCCAUUUGCAUCAACAAUUUUAAGACUUAUUUUCAUCUGAUUGGAAUUCAACAAAAUGAAUUCCUUAAAAAUGAUGGCUACCAACAUUGUGAAGCUAGAUUGCUUUGAAGGAGGAAAAUUUAUUUUGUUGGUUAAAGUUGGAUCGAUUUGAUGUUGACAAGGAAAAUGGUUUUUCAUCAAAUUACAAGAUAAGUUUUUUUUCCUUGUUUUGUAUGCAUGAUAUUAUAUGUGACAUGUAUGGUACACGCAUGUUGGUUGGAAAGAAGUAUUACUCUUAAUAGCUUUAAGUUAUAUGAUCUUAACAUGGAUAAAGCUAUUAUUCUGUCUUUUAUAAUUGAUAAACUUUCCUUUCAUGGAAAAACUCUAAGAAAAGUCAAAAGUAGAAGAAAAAGGAGAUAUCUCUCAAAGACCUCAAUAAUCACCUUUGAAUAGAAAAAGAUUAUUGCAAAUAAGAUGAAGUCAAUCAAGAUAAGAAAGAUAAAGAUCUUAAUGUAAAAAUGUUGAGCUGACAAAGGUCCAUUGAUAGAAAACAAACCAUUUAACAAGACACAAGGUAUGAGCAUGUGGCACUUCUAUUAUGUAUUAAGGUAUAAUGUUACUAAUAUAUAAAUGAAACAUCUUGUUAUAUGGUGCAUUCUUAUUUUACCAUCGAAUGUAUAAUAAUGCAAAAUAGAUAUUGAUAUAUUUUAUAUUGCAUUGGUGAAAUCCCACCCCAAAAUAAAAUGUUAAGUUAAAAAUUCUUAGGUGAGCAUGUAUGUUUCAUGUUAUGAGCUCUUAAACUAAGUUUUAAACUUGGAAAAGUUUGUGUUUUGAGACACUAAUGUUGGUCCCAUUGGAAUGCUAGAGGGGGGUGAAUGGCACUAAAAAAUUUUCUGUUCAGCCCUCUAGAACUUGUAAAGCUCUUAAUCAAUUAAAUAAAGGGAAGGACUUGAACUUGUUAGAAUUGAAAGGCACCAAUUAAUGAAGGGUAAAGAGAAGUGGACGGUGUAAAAAUAUUUAUAGUAGUUCAGUCUCUUUGACCUACAUCCACUACUUUGAUCUCCCAAUCAAGGAUUUUUAACCUUAACUUCACUAUACUAAUGGAAUUAACGGUUUCCACCAAGCUUUUACAAGGUAAACUUCUAACCCAAGCUCUAAUCUCUUACAACAAUCUUUAGAGUGCUUCCUGCACUCUACUUUCCCAAGAAAGAGAAAAAAAUGAAGUACAACUAUGACACUUUACAAAUAUGGAAAUAUUACAACUAAGCUCAAAAACUUUUUCUGGUUUUAGAAUGAAGAACAAGUGUUUUUGGUGAAUGAUGUUUGGUUUUUUGCUCAAAAUGGCUCUUUUCUCUUCAAAUAUGUUGUCUUUGACCAUUUGAGCUUCCUUGUAUACCUAAGGAGUUAGAUUUUUCUUUUGGAGACAGUUUCAAGUUGUUAGAAACAACUUUAAUGUACUUCUAGUCGUUAUUUUGUCCUCUAGUAUUUAAAUUCAAAAAGACAGACAGACUUCGGCUAAUCGAUUAUAGGCAAAUCUAAUCGAUUAUAGCUUUUCUACCUUGCAUUGUCCUGUUGUUGUGUUCUCUGCUUUAACUGAUUACAGAAGGCUCUAACCGAUUAAGAGUUCUCUAUUUUCAGACUUCUCUUCUUCAGUAGUCUUCCUCUAACUAGUUAUGGCAGGCAUUAAUCGAUUACAAACUUUUUGUUUUCACUUCUCUACACAGUAAUCUUCCUCUAAUUGGUUAACUCAUCCCUUAAUUGAUUGAAGUUAUGCUUCCUUUAACCAUAACCGAUUGAAAUUAGCUUUAAUCAACUAGAAAUUAUUCGAAUUUUGAACUUCUCCAUUUUGGCUUCCUUCAACGGUCAACUAUAUUUUCAAACUUGUGUUUGGUGCUUGAAGAGACUAGGACUUUGUGCUCUAACUGACUAACCAGACCUCUUAAUCAAUUACCAUAUUUCUAUUUUGCUUUAGCUUAUCACAUAGCCAUGACUUAACUAAUUAUAGUCCCUUGAUAAUCAAUUACUAAGGUUUUAUUUUUGUACAUCACUUGCUCUUUUUCUUUUAAUUGAUUAACUCUUCAUUAAACUUAGAAAGCUCUUUUAGUUGCCUUUAAUUAACAACUUAAUAGGGGUAUUAAAUUAAAUCCUACACACUUAAAUAAUAAGAUUAGACAUUAAUGAAUGAAGAAUGUUUUGCUAUCAUAAAAAAUAUAUGGAGUCAACAACUAAAAUGGUUUGCAAAGUUUAGUGGGAAAAGAGUCCAAAUGGACAAGUUUUAAAAGUUGUUUUUUGUUACUAAAGUCUAUCUAUCGAUAAAUGUUUUUAGCCUAUUAAUGGAUAGAUAUUUUUCAUUUAUCAAUAGAUACAAUCCAAACAAACGUUUUUGAAGGAAAUUGAAGAACAUCUAUCGAUAGAUUGACCUAUUUAUCAAUAGAUGAGACAAAUCUAUCGAUAGAUAGCAACUCGAGAGCUUUUAAAUAAACUUGUCAACCAUUUAUCGAUAAAUGACCUCAAUCAAUCAAUAAAUGACGUUGUUUUCUAAAAAAUAAAAAGGUAAAAAUGUAUUUUCAUGCUCCAAACUAUAAAUACCUCACAUUUUAUUAAGGCUUUUAGUUCUCAACCGAUUUUGAAAGGUAUUCUCUCAACUUUAAGACCCUCUCAAACUAAUUUCAACCCAAAACACCAUUUUUGAAAGAUUUGCAUUUGGUUUGAGUUUUAAAAGCAAAUCUGAUAUUUUUCACUCUUAAAAUCUUUAAAUCUUGGGUUUUAAACUCUAAAAAUAUUGUGUAUUAUUCCAAAUUUACUUAUUUUUACAAACUAAAGGAUUUGGAUGGAUUCAUCCUUGUUUAAAGCUCACCUAAGGUAAAGAUGAUGGAUUUAUGAAUUUUCUACACAAAAGUAAUUAUAGAACAAUGAACUUAAGCUGGGAAAUUAGUUUUAGAAGAAUCCGAAUAGUUUCAAAAGAACUUACAAUUCUUAGCACUCAAUUCCUAAACUGAUUAUUAAUGAUAAUGGUUAUUGAAUGUUUAGGAAUUAUCAAAACUUUAAAGCAGCUGUUGGAGUAGAUUUGUGCUUGAUUACAAAGGUCAACUUUUUGAGGUGAAUGGGUACACCACUUUCAAAACUAUUUGAGUAUGUAAAGUCGAAAACAUGGUUGAAUGAUUUGAUGGAUUAUUGAUGAGCAUGGUUUCCAUAACAAAUAUGUUUGUGGAUGAGACAACAUUUUGGAAAUGGCUUUCAACACUAUAAGUAAAUAUCCUACUAUGUGGUAGUUUUCAAUAAAAGGAGACAAGCCCUUUUAAUAUUUUGAACAUUUCUCUCAAUUACUCUCGCCUCCGGGCUAGUGUGGGUACGAGAUAAUUAGUUGAGAAAGUGAUUGUAGAUGAUUAAAAUGCUUUUACAUGUGAGUAUUGUGAAUGUGGAUUGAAAAGGUCUCCACUUUUCCAUUAUUUAUGUGCUUGACAUGAUUGGCUAUUGAAACUUAAUCUUGGUAUGAUCUUGUACAGAAUUUUGAUUGUGUUGUGAUUGGCUCUAGUCCCUGUAUGGGGGUAAGAAUACAACAAGGUUUGGUUGGGCAUCAUACCACUUUUCCCUCCUCUUUAUGAGUUUUGGUAUAGGGGUAAUAAUACCACAAGGUUAAGCUUGGUCAAUGUGUCACCUUUUCCCCUUUUUGUAUAUUGGCUCUAGUCCCGAUGUAAAGUUAAGAAAACCACAGGAUUAAGUUGGGCAUCGUACCACUUUUUCCCUUUUCGUGAAUCCCAGUGUAGGGGUAAAAAUACUAUAAAGACAAGUUAGGUGAAAGUACCCAUUCUCCCCUUAAUUUGCUGAUGGCAUGUAUUGAUGUGUUAUUUGUAUAUUGAAUAUUGUGACGUCUAUGAUUGGCAAUUAAUCAUUAUUGUGUCUAUCUAGAAAUGAUGAGACAAUUUGUUGAAUGAAUGAUACAUUCUUGAUUUGAAUGUUUGAUGCUGAAUUUGAACGUUGAGGAUUACUAUCCAUUACCUUCUUGCAUAUGUUUUGUAAGUCAAGCUAUAUAUCUUAAUUCCUUUUUAUGCAAAUUUUAGUUUUAAAUGCAUUUAUGGAAAUGUUCAAAUGAAAUUAUUGUCAUUGGAAUGAUUUAUACGAAUAUCAUGUGUUUUUGCAAAGUAUGGUUAUUGUAAAAACUCUCCCCUUUAGCUUAUCCCCUUCUUUGUAUCUACUCACGGAGUCUUUGUUACUCCCACAUUAUAUUCCUUAUUUUAUUUCAAAUCAGUAGUGUGAGACCUUGACCUUUAUAGACUCGUAGAUAGAAGUAGAUGUGAUAUUCCUGAUCAAGGGUAAUUUCGUCAUUUUCUUAGUAAGCCCCUAAAAGUAAGAUUUUAAAUAAUAUUAUGACCUAAGUAGGCCUAAGGCAUAAAUGGAUGAUUAAAUAAGGGUAAAAUGACGAAGGAAAUAAAAAUGAUGAUGAUUUCCACGGUAGGGGCAAAAUGGUCAUUUUUCACCUCAUAUCAAAAUUUUAAAGUUUUCGAGAACUCGAGCAUUUCUAGACCAUUAUGGACCUUGUCCCAAUGUCAAAAGAGUAAAAAGAUUGCAUAAAGGAUUGGAGGAGAACAAGUUAACUUGUAAGGGUAUUUUGGUAAUUUAAGUGGAGUGGAUAAGCUUGGGUUAUAAAUAUCUCUUUCUUCCAACAGCUUCUUCUCCCAUUUUCAAGCAGGUUAUUCUUUUUCUUCCUUCUUCUCUUUCACGUUGCUUCCAACCUCCAAGGAAGCUUGAUAUGAACCUCCAUAACCUCCCUCAAAAUAGCUCCACUUUUCAUGCUUUUGGUGUACCUUUUCAUAAACCCUUGUGCUCUUCCACUCUCUCUCUUUAAAACCCUUGAAGAAAAUCUUAUUUCCAUACUCUCUCUUUAGUUAGGUGUUUUAGAAAGAGAAAGAGCAAGCUUCAAUAAUAGCUUGAAAGUUUUUGGAAAGAAUUUCAAAUACAAAGCUACCAAGGUGAGUAGUGAACUAGAAUUGAUUUUUAGUGUUGAAAAUUAUUAGUGUUUAGACUUAUGGGUGUUUUGGUAGUUGAGGUUGUUCAUUCACUUUAGAGUGAUUACUAUAGUGAACAUAGAUAGCCACUUAAAUGGCAAUUGGAAGCUAGCUAAGAGAAAGCUUUUAGAAUUUAUAAGUUUGUGAAUUGACUUAAUGGUGAUGCUAAUGUGAUAAUAGGUUCCAACGACGCCCCAUCGGCCCAUUUGGACCAUUAGAGAAGUAGAGUCGACUAAAGGUUCAACAAAAUACCGGUGAGUGGACUUGCAUUUCAAACUUGUUUUGGGAAUGUGAAUGUAUUUGCACAAGAUAUUUGAAUGGUUUUAUCCAACUUUUCUUCAAAAAUGUGUGCCAGGGAACAAGUCUUGAUUAAAUGUUUUUUAUAUUGUGAAAUGUGAGAUGUGUAUAAGGAUGAAUCCAUGUAUUUUAUAUUAUGUUGGUAUGUAUUAUAUAUCUUAUGAAUAUGUGUUGUGUAUCGAUGAAUGAUGUUGGGUGAUGAUGAUAAAGUGUGCGAGUAGGGAGUGCACACAUGAUGAUGAUGGAGUGUGCGAGUAGGGAGUGCACACGUGAUGAUGACAGAGUGUGCAAGUAGGGAGUGCACACAUGAUGACGAUGUAUGUAUAUGUAAAUGUGUGUGUUAUAGAAAAUUCAUGAAUAUGGUUUAUGGAUGAAAUGCAUGUGAAAUCUUGCAUGUUGAACUUUGAAAAUUUCUAGGCAUGUUUAAGUAAAGCUUGUCUUUCCAGCUAAAUGGCCUAUCCUUAAGAGAAUCAAAAGCUAUUGUUUGUGUCCUAUUCUCACUGCAACGAGAUUCAUUCUCGCUGCAGCGAAAAACUCUCGGGUUUGGAGGGUUACAUUGGUUUGAUUCUCAUUAUAAUGAGAAUGCAUUUUCACUGCAUCGAGAAAGUCGUUGAAGCUCUUCGCUGUAGUGAGAUUUAUUCUCGCUACAGCGAGAAACAUUCUGUUUCUGCUGCCUGUAACUCGCUGCAGCGAGAAACUUUCUGUUUGGCAGCACAAAUUUCGUUGCAGCGAGAAUCUGUAUUGCUUAUCAUCUUGUUCCAUUGCUGCCCUAUUUCCCAUUUUCUUGGCACCAUAGUUGAGUGUGGACUUCCAAAUUUAGGAAUUUAUUUAAUAAAGUUUGAAAUAAGGAGGUUUGUUGACAAACCCUCGUUCCCUGAUAAUUUGAGCCCAAAUUUCGCUGCAACAAAAAUUCAUUCUUGCUGUAGCUACGCUGCAGCGAGAAUACCUUUCCACUGCAGCGAGGACUCGUAGUCUUACUUGACUUGACGUGCUUGAAUGCUAAUAGAGUUUUCACUCUUCAAAUCCUUUGUUGUGCAUGGAACUGUUAUCAUCAAGUGAUUAACUCAUUAAGGGUUUAAUGAGGGGUUUUAUUAAAACUAAACUAAAUUGCAUUGUCUUGAAAAUAAAUGCAUCAUGACUUCUUUAAACUUUCCUUAUUGUUCGCUUGUUCCCUUCUUGUUCACUCACUGGGUUUAUACUCACCGUUUUCAACUUCAUGUUUUCAGAUCAAGAAUCAAGCGGUAGCUAGGUCAAGGUGUCCUUGUAGAUUCGUAUCUUUGGUAGGUAUCAAUGGCAUUCAGUAGCUACACCUUCACUGUGGUCACUCCGCUAGAAGCCUAGAGUCAUUUUGUUGUAAAUAUGUACAGGUGAUGUAAAUUAUUAAAUUGCACGUUUAGACAAUAUAUGUACAUUUUGAUUGGUAGGCCACUAUGAGUUGGAAAUGCUUAGUAUUAUUUUGAUUCAAAGUUAUGAAAUGUAACUUGGUAACUUUUGAUGGAAUGAUGAACAGGUCACAUUAAUAAGCUUGCUUGGGCUUAGUGGAUUACGUCCAUUGGGCCCAUGCGUCGGUCAUGGCACGAAAUUUGGGUCGUGACAAGUAGCUUGCUUGACUUGGCAACUCGUGGAGUAGUAGCCUAGCUCAUCUGUGGUAGGUGUGGUAGAGCCUUCCUUUUAGCCCUCCAAUGUUGUCACACUCCGCAGUGUGUCAAGUUGAGUCAUUUAAUUAUUAUGUCGAUAUUGAACUCGAUUAUGUAAAUAAUGUUGAUAUACUUGUUUAUGUUUCCACACAUUGUAUUGAGCCUCGGAUAUGGGUGCAUGAGAUGAAUAAGACUAUGGUGGAUGAUCUAAAGCAAUAUAAGCACAUAAUGCGUGCCGAACCAUAAUUAUUUUUAAAUAUGUGAAUAUUUAUAUGAAUUAUGAUUAAAACCACACCUUAAGUUGAGAGGUUCUGUAAUAUUGUGUCCUUGAUGAAUUCAAUGCAUAUUCAUGAUUGUGAAUGGAAAUGUUAUGCAUGCAAUGGAUGACUAGCUCAUGCAUUAUUGAUUUAGGGUUACUUGGGCACAGUGGGCUAUACCCACGUGAUCCAUGCACCGAUCAUGAUCCCUCUAAGAAAUGGGAUGUGGCAACAUUCUUAUUGUGUAAUAAAAGUAAAAUGAUACUUAUGUGAACAUAUAUCUUAAUUUGUUAAUUUGACAUUCCGAUUGAACAGUUUAGGUACAAUGGUGUCAAUUGAUAAAGAAAGGAAUGUGUGUAAGCUUGUUAAGUCUUUGUAUGGAUUAAAACAAGCACCUAUACAAUGGCAUCAAAAGUUUAAUGAUGUUGUGAUAGCUAAUGGCUACAAAAUCAAUUAAUCUGACAAAUGUGUUUAUAGUAAGUUCUAUAAUAGUAAAGGUGUUAUCAUUUGUCUAUAUGUGGAUUACAUGUUAAACAAGUGGAGGACACAAAAAGGUUCCAGUCAAAGAAUUUUGACAUGAAAGAUAUGAGUGAGUAGGAAGUUAUUCUUGGUAUAAGAAUAAUAAGAGACAAUGAUGUCAUAACAUUAUAUCAAUUUCAUUACAUUUAAAAGACUGUAAUGAAGUAUGGUAAGUCAAAUUCUACGCCUAAGCUUAUAGCCAACAAAGACUAGUCAUAUAAUACCCAACAAAGACUAGUUUAAUCAAGGCUAGUACCCAACAAAGACAAGCCAAUAGCAUAAGUAGAAUAUGUAAGGUAUUUGGAUGUCUAAUGUACGCUAUGGUUUGUACAAAACCAAACAUUGCUUUUACGGUUAGGAUGCUAAGUCGAUUUACAAGUAAUCCAAUUAAAGAUCAUUGGCAUGUUGUUCAUAUAAUUCUAACGUACUUAAAGAGUAUGAUGAAUUAUAUCAUUUGUUACUCAAUUUUUCCCUAGUUAGAACUCAAAUAAAACAAAUUAUACCUUUAUUGUAGGUUGGAUUUUUGUAAUUGGUGAGGGUACUAUUUCGUAGGGUUCUAAAAUAAUCAUGUCAAGCAGAUUCCACCAUGGCGACAAAAUGUGUAGCCUUAGCAUCUACUACUCAAGAUGCAGAAUGGUUAACAAAUUUACUCUAUGAAAUUCCAUUAUGGCCUAAACCAAUGUCAUCAAUCUUGAUGCAUUGUGAAAAUGAAGCAACAGUGUCAAGAGAAUAUAGUCAAAUGUGUAAUGGAAAGAAUAGAUACAUUGGACUUCAACAUAAUAUUGUAAGACAACGUAUAUUAGUGAUGGUAUAAUCACUAUAAGUUAUGUAAGGUCUAGUGAAAAUUUGACGGAUCCAUUGACUAAAGGAUUUGUUAUUAAAGAUGUCAAGAAGAAUGGGUCUCAAGCCUAUCAACUAAAUCAUCAAUAGUGGGAGCUUAACUCAAGACUUAUGGUUGACUUGUAAGUCUUGAGUAUUGACCAUUUCACCGCAUGGAUGAUUGCAAGCAUUGAUUUAUUUUUUCCAUCCCAAGGUAUAAAGUGUUUGGUUCCUUUCAAGAAAGAUGGAUGUUAAGCCUAUCAACUAAAUCACCAAUGGUAAAAGCUCAACUUAACGCUUAUGGCUGACUUGCAAGUCUUGAGCAUUGACCAUUUCAUCACAUGGAUGAUUGCAAGCACUAAUUUAUUUUUUCCAUCCCAAGGUGUAAAAUGCUUAGUUCUCGUAAUAAGUAAAAGUAAGGUUGAACGAAAGUUCUUAAUAAACCUAUAACAUGUAUAUGUUGAAGUACUUUAAUUACGGGGUACUUUCGAUGGGGGCUACCUAUGCUAGUGAAAGUAUGGCCGCUUCUAAGAGUUAAAAGCUUGACUUUGACAACACUCAUGAAUCAAUGCAUAAUACAAAGCCAUAAACGUGUUGGCAAAACUUGACAUAAAAUGAGCUAAAAGCUUUUGUCUGAUUAAUGGCCCAACUAGUCAAUAAAGAAUCGAUAGUUCAAUGUUUAGCCAACUACUCAAUUUAGACAACAAUCAACCAUACUCACUAAGUAAAGGUUCAAAUCUGCAAGAUACCUUCAUUAAUGCACAAGAUCCUCAAAGUUGUUGGUAUGUGGAAAUUUUUUGAAAAUGGUGGGGGCUUAUUGGUGUAUUUUCAAAAUGAAAGGUUAUUUCUCUUCAUAUGAAAAGUUGUAAAUGAAAGUUAUAUCUUUCCACGUGAAAAGCUGUGACUAUUAGAAAGACAUAUUAAUUGAAAGGUUAUGUCACAUAGUGUGACUAUUGGAUUGGUGGUAGUUUUUCAUAUCAAAAGUAAUGUCUACUGAUAAAGUGACUUUUGAAAAAUCACCUCUAAAUCUAAAGAUUAUAAGACAACUGAAAAACACCACUACUCAAAAGUUAUAAUAUGAAAAGUUAUCUUUUCAUAUUAUUGCUAAAAGGUUAUGUCUUCUGGUAUGAAUGGUUGUCCUUUCAUAAGGUAAUUAUUGAAAUAAUACCUUUAUCCAAAGGUUCUAUCUUGUAAUAUAAAAGUGUGUGUUUAAGACAUAAAGGUGCCUUAAUGAAAGGGUUGUGUAUUUAAAAAAGAGACAUUUGCAAGUCUAUAUAAAAGACUUGCUUGCAACCAUUUUGACACGCAACAACAACACAACAAAAAGCAAGACAAAAGUAGAAAAACAGAUGUGAGAGAAGUGUAAUGCUCUAAAUAAAAAUUCAAAAAAAGACAUAAACAGUUUUAUGCAAGCACUAUUUACCAAAAUUGUCCAAAUUCCCUAUAAUAUAUUUGUUAUAAAAAGUAAACUCUAAGGCCAAACAACUUUACAACCCUUAAUUGUGUCUAGCGGUCUAAUAUCAUAAUUGCAAGACGAAUUUAGACAUUAGCUUCAUUGUAUCUCUAAGGCUAUUCACAUAAUUCCUCUUUUGCACACCAAGUGGUGGGAGUAACGUCUACAAAGGCACACCUUGAACUCAAUUUUGUUGGUUCCUUUGAAUUUUAACUAAACCUUAUUUGCAGUAACAAAAAUAAUUCUAUUGAGGUUGUAAUUUCAGUGUUGAAGACUUUUAUCUUCACUAUUUGUUUAUAUAGUGUAAAAGACAUGGUUACUAGAUGUUGAGAGUUUAAAAUAUAAAAACUCUCCAAUAGUAAAAACUAUAAACUCCUUAACUAAAGUUUUUGACUAAUCUCUUGAUUUUCGCUAUCGGAGAUCUUUUAACUUGAUUUGAUUGUCAUUAGAUUGAAUUGUAAUGAUUUAUGAAAGUAAUUUUUGUUUUUGUUGUAUAUGUUGGGAUCAAUCCCUCAUAUGAAUCAAUCCUUAAUAGGAAGUGAGUGAUCUCCUAGAUUCUAGCAAGUAUGAAUCGAUCUCUUAUCCUUUCAGGUCGAUCUUUACUAAGCAACAAAUGUUCUUUUGAUUUCUGCCUAGUAUGGAUUAAUCCCUUAUUCUUUGGAAUCGAUCCCUAGCAAAUAGUAAGUGAUCUCUUGGUUUCUGUCCAAUAUGGAUUGAUCUCUUAUCCUUUAGGAUGGAUCCAUGUAGCUUUCUAGCUAGCUUUUUAUUAUUGCUAAUGUUGUUUGCUAAAAAUGAUGAUAUUCUUGAUGUUGAUGUUUCUAAACUCCCUAGAAAACUGAUUAUGGGAAAAUGCCACAAUCCAAGUUUGGUUCGAAGGUGUGCAAAGGUUUGUCAUGGUAGUGCUUUGAUAAGAAUGUAUGUUGCUUGGAGAAAGGAUGGGACAAAUUUAAUAACCAAGGAAACUAGAGCAAACUUUUCUCUAAAAAAGUGAUAAUUUAUAUUGAUGUAUUUAGUUCUUGCAUGAAAAAAAAGGAUUAACUAUCAUGUGAAGUGCUAAAAUAUUUUCUUAAAAUAAAGUAGUCGGUUAUGCCAUUAUUUGUCCAAAGCCUUGUAAUAUGUAUGAAUUUUAGGUGAGUUAUACUAUAAUUAAAGCUAAAGCAUAGUAUUUUGCUUGUGUACACAAUCUUGUCACUAUUUAUCAUUUCUUAAAGCUCCACAAUAUAUAGUUUACUCUAAGACAUGUAGAAUCAAAAAUACAGACCUUCUGAUAAAAGGGCAUCUUCCCCAAUAUGCAUCACUGAAAGCAUACAACUCUAAAGAUUUAUGGGUGUCUUUUUCACUAAAUGUAUAUGGAAUUUGGAUUGGACACUGAAGGUUAUGCCUAGUUGACUAAAUGUUAAGUAUUUUAGGCCUUCUACGAUGCUUGUCUAUUGAUGCACGUCAUUAGGGGUUAAUUAGUAGUAGGGAUGAUUUUAGUGGGGAGUGGAAUGGAAAUGGGUUUAUAUUCUGUCAUUUGAUCUUUAUUAAGGAGUUCAGUAGUGUAUUUGGCUUGAUUUAGGAAGAAUCCUGGGAAAAAUGAACUUAAAUACCUAAGAAGUAAUGAAUUUGACCAAAGCAUUUCGUUGAGAAUUCAUUAUCUAGUUCUAGAAUAAAGUUAUCCAAUUGUGAAAAAAGUCUACCACUUAAGAUAAUAUUAUCAACAUAAACUAAUAGAAAGAUGGGUAGCAUUUGAGAAAUUUUUAACAAAAAAAAGAGAUGUGAGCGAAGUAUCCCUACCUCUUCGAGGCAUAGAGGUAUGUUACUUUAUAAGUUAGAUUUAAAAUUCGAGGACCAAAUUUCUAUAAGUUGAGGGGAAUGUGAAAACUCAACUUUUAUUGUCACGACCCAAACUCAGGGGGUCCAUGACCAACGCACAAGUAUGGUAGGGCAAGCCCACAAGACCCGAGCAAGCCUCAAAAUUUCAAAUCACAUAACACAUAGCCAAAGGAUUUCAUAACCAAAUAUUCAUAAAUAAAAUUUGAAUUCAAAUAUAAAACAUUUUCUUUGGCGCAUGAUUUAUACAUAAUAUUCAUGAAGCCACAUAUUGACCGUCAAAGCAGAUACGUACUUAACAACCCUUAAUAGAAAUUCAAAUGGCACAUCAUGCCUACAUACACAACUAAACUAAAUACAGAGUAAAAGCUCAUGAUAGACUCAACAGAAUGGGCGCAUCAGGUGGGGACCUACCGGAUGCCAAAAUCGGUCUAUCACUAGACAACCUUUGCCACGUAGUCUUGUCACCUAUUUAUCUACACAUGGUACAACAAAUGAAUAAGUCAUCUAAUACUCAAAGAGAGGUGCAGAUAAAUCAAUAUAUAUAUAAUUGACAAAUAUAUAUAGUGCACUAUCAAUGCAACCAAUCAUUUAACAAGCAUUUCUAAGAUUAGGGUUUAUCAAUCAUCCUUAAGCUGUCUCCACAAAUAACAAACAUAUCACUAGGCUUAUGCUCGAAGCCAUUCAAAGUUAUUCUCUACGGCACACUCAAAUUGUCGAAGUAUCAUAUCAGAUUCGAAUCAAACAUAUCUAAGCUUAUCUAAGGCUACGUCACACCAUUCAUGGUUCAAAUUAUAAUCCUUGAGUGGUACUCCCCUAGACACAUCCAGUGGCCAACCAAUGGAGUCAAAUCACGCUCAGGGCUAAGCCAGUGGAGGAGAAUCAAAUCACGUGCGUGUCAAAGCAAUGGUAAAGAAUUAGAGUCAUCGUCUGGAGUAAUCUCCCAACAGCAGCAUCACCUAGAGCAUUCUCAAACAAGUGGCAUCAAAGCACUACAGUCGGGAAUCACAAAUGGGACUAAUACAACCAUCCCUACUCACCACCAUCCUUGCAGGCACAUAACAAAGUCACGAGGAAUAGGAUUACACUCAACCUUAAAUCAAAUCAAUGUUCGGAAUUCAUCUAUAAGACGGAAUACAUAUCCACAAAUGAGGCCAUCAUGCCUUUGUCAUUCCAUUUGUCCACAUCAAAUGAUAAAUCACAUUUAACAAGCUUCAAAUCAUCCAUAACCUCAAUAUGGUUUUGAGUGCCCCUAAGUCUCUAAGGCAUCAACUGCUUAAAUACUCUAAAGAUCAUUCGUCUAAGAUAAUAUACUCUUAGAUGUUCAUCAUAUCCUCUAGACUCCCUAGUCUAGGCUCAAGUAACAUAGGCCACUAGCUAGCUUGCACUAAGGUACCAACACAGCACAUAGCCACGUACAUUUUUGUUCUCUAGCCUAGGCACAUUCUUAUAGGCAAUUAUAUAUGUUUUUAAAGUAGGAAAAUUCUCUCAAGGCAUAGCUACCCUGUUAUAGUUUUAUUAAUAACAUAAAAUAAAAGGUACAAGUAGAUAGAGGCAUAAAACUGUUCUUCUGAAUUUACAUGAGUUAAAGGAAAAAAAAACCUCAUAAAGGUAUCACUUUAUGCUCCAUAUUUUUCAUGAAUGUAGCAAUAAAAUAAUAGCCUUUUGAUACAUAUUACUAAGAGCAUGAAAAAUAAAUUAGGAGUACUACUCCUUUACAUUUAUUUAAUCUAACAUAUUCUAUCUAAAUACAGAAUGCCACGUAACACACCUUCUGCUUGUGAGAAAACUUGAAGAUUUUGGUGUGAAUAUCUCAAGUUGGACAAAAAGUUUGCAACCUGAUUACCUUCUCUAUAUAUAUGUGUCAAACCUUGUUCUAUAAAAUAAUUACGACGUCAUUUACAUGCUCAAUAGAAUGGUUACAUAUUUAGAACGUUUGAGAAAUUGUUAAAAGACGAUAUUGCCCCUAAUGGUAUCAUUAAGUCGAUUAAGCCUUGAACUAGUUCAAAUAGGAAUUUUAAGGUGAAAUUAAGAGUUUCACAAUUCAGGGAUGACUCAAAAUGGUAAUUCGGAGUUCGAGGAUCAAUUUGGAGUCAAACCGGAAUUUUCACUAUCUAAGGGCAAAAUGGUCAUUUGCCACUUGGGGACAAAAUGGGAAUUUUUAGAAAAGAUUUUUUUAGUCCAUUUGACUUAUUGGAGUAUGAUUUAAGUAUUGGAGUAUGAUUUGAAGUUUAGAAGUAAAAAAUUUUAAUUUCGGUAUAAUUUGGAGUAUAAGGGUGAAAUGGUAAUUUUGCCACCCCGGGGGCAAAUCGGUAAAUUUUUACCCUCGACACUUGUCAAGACCAAGGGAUUUUAUUCAUCAUGGAAAUGGAUAAACAUGAGAAAUGUGUGGUGGAGAAUUAAAGAAUUAAAAGUCAAAUAUUUAAAAUUUGAGCCAAUAAGGAAAUGCCAUGUGUCAUGUUUUUAUUAUUUUAUUAUUUCUUUAUAAAAAGGUAAAAAAUCAGCCCAUUUCUCCCAUAGUGAUCAGCCAAACCAGAAGAGAAGAGAAACCAAGGAAGAACAAACCCUAGGUGGGAAAAAUCAAAGAGAAAGUGUUGGAAUUCAAGGAUUUGAUCAAGCAAAGGUAAAAUUUCUUUGAUUUUGCUAGUGAUUUACCUUACCCAUGCAUUUUUCCUUAAUUUCCAUGGUUAAAUUACAUGUUUUCAUGAUGAAAUUAUGGCUGGUCAAAAUGGGUAUGGAGAGAGAAAGAUGUUGGAAUUGUUUGAUUUUGAGUUAUGUUGGUGUUUAGAGUUAGUUAAACAUGUUUAGAAACAAAACAACAAGAAAAGAAUCCAUUUUCCCCAUGAACCUUCAAUGGCCGAAAGUUCCAAGAAGAAAAGUGAAGAUAAAUUUGCCUAAUUGUGUGUUAAUUAGUUGUGCUUGGUGAAUUGAGGGAUUGGAAAAGAAAUGGAGAAAGUUGGAGUGAAAUUGGACGCAUUGGCCAAUUUAUUGGAUGAAAAAUCGACUUAGGUCAAUACCGGGUCUAGAUGGCUACCUGUGCAUUUUUCAUUUCAUAUCAUGCAUAUAUAUCGAGCCUGAAAUAGCUUAUGACUGUUAGACACAAUUUAAUUGAAAUAUGUGCCAUGGAUUAUGGCUAGGUGGUGAGCCAUUAGAUACGGGUAAAGGACUGUACCCGCGGACUGAAAAUAGGAGUAUAUCGACUCCUAGAACUGUGAGUAAACUUACUAUCGUCUUAAUUAUCUAGAGUAGAUUUAUUUAAUUGUGUGAUUUUAUGGAAAAAUGGUUUAAUUGGAAAAUUAUUGUGUUUUAUGGGAAAAUGAGAUUUUAUAAAAUAAUUUUAUAAAAUUUUUGAAAAUUUAAUAAUGAUUUCAAAAAUAGAGUAAUUGGAGACCUAUACUAUGAUUGUGUUGUUUAUCUAUGAUUUUACAUUAAAUGGUUUAUGAUAAAUGUGGGUAUGACUGGUUAUAUUUAUGAUUUGAAGAAUAUGUGAACUGCUUUGAUUUGCCUUGAAUGUGUUAAGUAAGCCAUGUCAUACUAUUGUGAUUUUAUUGGUUGGUGGAUUAUAAAAUGGGCACUGCAGUGACGGGGGUUCCGUGGGCCACCCUAAUUAGAGGGGCACGGUUCUCAAUUAUUGAGCUUGCCUCGAUUGGAGAGGCACGUAGAAUAACUCCCGAGGUAGGAUUUGUGGGCACUCAGUGACGGGGGUUCCGUGGGCCAGCCUAAUUAGAGGGGCACGGUUCCCAAUUAUUGAGCUUACCUCGAUUGGAGAGGCGCGUAGGAUAACUCCCGAGGUAGGAUUUGAGUACACUUCACGUUGGCCACCACGUGAAACUGGGACUCAGCCAACGCCGAGGAACGGCUGUGUUGUCAGAGGUGAAAUGUGUUGUGUGUGUGACAAUAACCAGCCUUGGCGGUCUCGGUAAGAUGCCUUCGCGGGGUAUCCCCGAGAAUAGAUUUUUGGCAAGGGUCAAGUUUUUGAAAAGUGCAUAAGCCAUGUUGAGUAAUUGGAUGAAAUCCAAUUAUUUAUAUGGGUUGGGAUGAAUUAUUUUAAUUGUCUCCUAUUACUCGGUUUUAGAUUAUUUUGAUGAUGUCUGUCUACUCACUGGGAUUUUAUAAUCUCACCCCUUCUUUCUAUACAUUUUUCAAGCUCAGGACAAUUUGUUAAUAGUUGAUUAAGACGAAAAUUAAUCUCGAAGUUGCGUCUUAGAAAGUAAGGGUUCGUAGCCCUACAUCUUCUUAGUCAGUUGAGGGCCCAUGUGUCACUGUAAAAGAAAUUUUAUUCUUCAGUUAUUUAAUUUAAAAUAUGUAUGAAUAUAUUUAGCUUUUACACCAUGUUUUUGACGAGUUUCGGUAUUUUCAAAGAAAAAUGACGAAAAUGCCCCUGUGAGACAAAAAGUAAUAUUUUAUUGUUUUGAUUUGGAAAUGACUUAUGAAUUUUUUUUUGAAAUGUGAGAUUUAAUAACUGUCGCUCACUGGAGAGAUGCAAAAGCUGAUGCUAAGCCUUACGGGGUUUCGAUCGGCAUUCGGGGUAAUGAGUGCCUAUCGAGACGUCACGGCUGUUGUCACGGGCUCGAUGGGAGUUCCGGGUCGUGACAAUAUGAGAAAUUCUAUAACAAAUGUUUUAUAAACAUUUUUUUAUCGACUCCAAUAAAUAUCGAAUCUCAUGGGACCUUUUACUACCAUCCCGAAUCAUCUAAAUUGCAACCUUAGCAUCCAUUUCAAUCCAAACUUUUAACAUAUUAUAAUCUUGGCAUAAAAGUAAACCUCUGUGUAAUGCCAUUAAUUUCGCCUUAAAUGAAUUAGUUGGACCAAAAUUUUCAGAAAAUCCAAAAUAAGCAUAACUAUGUGAUCACAUUAUAUGCCCCCUCUUGUAGCAUUUUGAAAAUUAUUUUUUGAGCUACCAUCAACAUUAAACUUUAAUUCACCUGUCAAUGGCUUGAUCUAAUUAAUAAUUUUAGGUAGUAUAUUUUGAUGGUUUGGAAAAUCAAAGCCCCAUGUUGCUGCAAUUUGAGUGUCUCCUUUCCACUGCCAAUUUUUCAGAUGAUUUCCUAGAAAAAGCUACCUCAAUAAUUUUAUGAUAUGCGAAAUCACUCCAUCAGGUAACAUACAUAAGUUCUUGUGCUUGGCAUUAUUUUGUUCAAACCACAAGAACCAAUAAAUAAAUAAUGGCACUAAAACAUGAAUAUGACCUUGUUUGGUGUAAUCUCCUGAAUAAUACCAUGCCAAGAUAACAUGCAAAACAUUCUAAGGAUUAACAACAUAGAUUUGAAAGAAUUUUACAAAAUAACUCCAAACUUGCUUUUCCACUGGACUAUCCCACAUAACGUGCAUUAGUGAUUCCUUAGAAUUGCAACAUAGACAUUUCGAUGCUAAUUGAAUACCUUUAGUUUUCAUUCAUAACUCCACCGAUAUCCAAUUAUUUAUUAUCCGCCACAAAAAGAAAGAGAUAGAAAGUGGUAUACUUUUAUGCUAGAUCAACUUACAUAAUUGACUGCUAGGUUGCGAGUGUCGAAUUUCUUCCCAUGCACCUUUAGUGGUAAACUCUCCAUUUGAUGUAGGUACCCAAUAAGCAACAUCCUGCUUGGAGCUAUCGAAAGGAAUUCAUAAAAUAUCACUAAUCACAAACUCCAGCAAAACAACUCUCAGUUUAUCUACAUCCUAAUUAUUAUUGUUAUAAAAAUAACAACCUUGUGUCAUGGAAUGAAUAAAAAAAGGGAGAAAUGUUACCAAAGGUUGUUCACCUAUCCAACAGUCAUGCCAGAAGAGUAAUUCUCCCUAACCAAUUCGCCACCGUGUGUUUUGCUCUGUUAUAAUGUUAGCUCCUAACAUCUGUUUCCAAACUUGGAAUCAUGGGCUUUAGCAGUGAUAUUAAUUAGGAAACGACCAGCACAAUAUUUUGCUCUCAUAAAUUUUGUUUAAAGGUGUUACAAGUUUUAAAUCUCCACCAUAGCUUCACUGUGAAAGCCUCAAAAACAUCCUUCAAGCUUCUAAUCUCUAAACCCCCUUCUGAGCAAGGCAAUCCAAUUUUAUUCUAGGCUACCCAAUGAAUCUUUUUGCACUCUAUCAAACCACCCCAUAAAAAAUUAUUAAAUAGUCUCUCAAUUUCUCAAUAACACUAAUCGGAGGCUAGAGAACUUGGAGUAAAUAAAUCGAUAGUGAAGAUAAACACUUCUGAGUAAAGUGAUUCUACCACCUAGCAUCAACACCUUGUUUUCCCCAUCCCGAAAUACAAUCACGGAUUUUAGAAAAAAGCAAAACAAACAAGAGUCCAUUUUUGGGACCUUUGUAUAGUGGUGCCCCUAAGUAAAUUAUAAAUAAACAUUAAUGGGAAAAUCCAGUGGCUUGAGACAUAAUUUAUCUUCUCGAAUUGGCAACAUUAUUAACUGUGAUAAAACAGUUUUUUUGAUGAUUCACGCGCUGUCCAGAAAUCUGUUCAUACUCUUGUAAAAAAGAAAGAAUUCUUUGCAAAGCAGAUCGGCUUUCGUUAGUAAAAAUCAUAACAUCAUCAGCAAAUGCAAGAUGAUUGAUAUUUAAAGGACGACCAGAGUGAUAGUGUAACUAUCCAUAAUUAGCAAAAAGAUUAUUAAAACCUAUAGCUAAGUAUUACGCUGCCAAGAUAAAUAAUAGAGGUGAAAUAGAACCCCCAGUCACAAUCCCCUCUCCGAUUUGAAGUAGCCAACCGAAUUGCCAUUGAUGAAUAAGGAAAACCAACAAUUAGAAAUACACUUCUUCAUCAUGUCAAUCCAGUGGUUAUUAAAACCAAAAUUUUCCAACAUCAAGUACAAAAAACCCUAAUUCAACCGAUCAUAAGCUUUCAUCGUAUCGAGUUUUGGAACCACAUUACCUUUUUUAACUUUGUAGCCAAUUUUUCCAAUCAACUCCUGAGCGAAUAAGCUAUUGUCACUAAUUAAUCUACCACUAACAAAGCCAUUUUGGUUAUCCGAGAUAAGUGUUGGUAAAACUUUAGCUAAUCGAUUCGCCAAUAAUUUAGUUACUAUCUUAUUUAAAACAAUGCACAAACUAAUUAGACGAAAGUAGCUCUAUUGUACUGCAGUGUUAGUACCAUGCCAGCGCCUUUAUCAAGGCAUUAUGCAUAACAAGCAUUUUAAAUUAACUUAAUCAUAAUGACAAAUCGGAGGCGCUCCCAUCGCCAAGCUCAACUUCAGCCUCCAAUCAUCCUUUAGCUCACCAAAGAGUCAAAUAGCUCAAUUUUCCUCUUAAAACACAUCAAACAUCAAAAUAUUAAUUAUUUCUUAGCUUUUGAAAAUAUCCAACUUUUCCAAAAAUAACUAAAUUCUUAGCAAUCCAACAUACAAGCUUAAAUCCUUUAAUAAUAAGCUAAACCCAUACCUUAGAAGUUGGAUUGCACAAAUCUAAUCUCCAAAUUCCAACAAAUCAUGGGGGAUUCCACUAAAGCUAGAAAAAUCAAAUUUCUUUAUUAUUAACCGAUUAAAUUGAAAAUCAAUUGAUAAAAACAUUUAAUCUUACCUCUAGAGGUGUUCUUAAGCUCCAGUUCUCUCCAAAUGGCUUUAAAAUUCCAUUUGGAGCUUAGGGCUUUGGAGUGGUAGAGAGAGAAAAGGGUUUAGGUUUUUUUUUAAAAUGGAUAGGUAGCUUAAGACCCCUUUUUAUUUUUCUCUAUCCCUAGUGAUGUAUCGAUUCAUUUUCAUAAGUUUCGACGAAAUCUAUCAAUACAUUAGGACAAUGUAUCGAUAAAUUUCCAAGUAAAAUGGUCACUGCCCUAGAUGCAUUGAUACAUGAAGGAAUCUAUCGAUACUUUGCCCUUUUGGUUGUCCUUUGCUUCAAAUCUAUUGAUACAUUUGGACAAUAUAUCGGUAAAUGUUCAUCUUUGUUCAAAUUUAUCAAUACAUUUUUUAAUGUAUUGAUAAAAAAAUCCCCUAUACGCCUUACAUUGUUCAUCUUACCAAGAAUGUAUCGAUACAUUGGGGAAUGUAUCGAUUCAUUUUCCCCUGUAGGUAAAUUUUCAGCCAUCCAAACUUCCAAAAAUCCAAAUCUAACACUCCAAAUCAUUAUCCUGCUUAAUUCACACUUCAAUUGAUACAUAUAACUAGAAUCCAUACACCUAUAUCCUCAAAUAUCACAUAAAUCUUAAAUCAAUACUCCAAACAAUAGGAGUUAUCACAUAUUUCCAUGAAAAUUUGCCUAAGCAUCAUAUAUUUCACAAAUCAUUCUCAAUUGACUUAGUUCAUAUCAAAAAUCUUCACCCAUAUAUAGCCUCAUACGGAGCCAAACCAAUCAUGGCUUGGUAGUUAUUGUUAUAAGCGAACUCAGCCAAAAGUAAAUAAUGAUUACAUAAAACUCCAAACUCAAGCACAAUUGCCCUCGGCAUAUCCUCGAGCAUUUAAAUGGUGCACUCAGAUUGGUCAUCUGUUUGAAUGAAAAGCCCUACUAAAAUUCAAUCUUGUGCCUAAGGCCUCCUACAAUUUCCUCCAAAAUUGACUAGUAAAUUGUAGUCCUCUAUCGGACAUUAUCGUUACCAAAACACCAUGUAGCCUCAUAAUCUCAUUAAUAUAAAUUUAAGCAUACCGAGCUGCUCCAUACUUAGUCUUGAUCAGUAAAAAGGGAGUUGACUUAAUUAGUCGAUAAAUUAUUACACAAAUGGCAUCAUAACUACCCCUAGGUCAUGCUAAAUCCGUCACAAAGUCCAUUGCUACAUGUUCCCACUUUCACUCAGGUAUUAGUAACGGUUGCAGCAGUCCCAAAGGUCUCUGAUGUUCAACCUUCACUUGCUAACAUUUCAAAUACUUAGAGACAUACUCAAUCACAUCUCUCUUUAAUCCUGGCCACCAGUAAAAAGACUUCAAAUCAUGAUACAUGUUGGUGGUUCUUAGGUAUAUCAUGUAAGUUGCCACAUGAGCCUCUUUCAAAAUCUCAUUUCUCAUAUCAUCCACAUUUGGCACAUAAACUUGUGAUCGGUACCUCAUUAAACCAUCGAUGUCGUAAACAAAGUCUCGAGCUCUAACUUCGCUCAUGUCUCCAACAAGUUUCACCAAAUAUUCAUCCACGUCCUAGGUGUCCUUAAUCAGAACUAAUAUCAGCGAUCAAACUCUAAAAUGUGCCAUCAAGGCGUUGGAAUUAUUGAUCUCAAAAUGUACUCCAAUAUUGCCCAGAUCAUAUAAACUCUACACUAAUGAUCAUUUCUCAACUAUUACAUGUGCUAAAUUGUCCACUGACUUUCGGCUUAGGGCAUCUGCCAUAACAUUUGCUUUACUCGAAUUGUAACAUAUGGUGUAGUCAUAAUCCUUCAACAACUCUACCCACCUACGCUGUCUCAAAUUCAAAUCCUUUUGUUAAAAUAUAUGCUUCAAACUCUUAUGAUCCGUAUAUAUUUCGCAAGUUUCACCAUAGAGAUAAUGGCACCAUAUUUUCAAAGCAAAUACAAUUGCAGCCAUCUCUAGGUCAUGCGUAAGGUAGUUCUGUUUAUGCCUCUCUAAUUGUUGGGAGUUGUAUGCUAUGAUUUUUCCAUCUUGUAUCAACACGCAACUCAAUCCAACCCGUGAUGCAUUGUAAUACACGAUAUAGCCUCAAAAUCCACACUAUAUGCUUAACACAGGCAUAGAAAUGAAGAAAGCUUUAAGCCUCUGAAAACUAGCUUUACAUGCAUCAAACCAAUCAAAUUUAACUCUUUACUGAGUCAAUCUUAUCAAAAGGGAUGCAAUCUUAGAAACGUCUUACACAAACUGUCUGUACUACUCAUCUAGACCCAAAAAACUUCUAAUUUCCAUUACAAACGUUGGCCUUGGCCAAUUCUCCAUAGCUUCUACCCUGCUAGGAUCGACUUGUACCCCUUGUGUAGACACAACAUGCCCCAAGAAACUAACUUUAUUUAACCAAAAUUCGCAUUUCAAAAAUUUAGCAUAUAAUUUAUGCUCUUUAAGCAGAUAAAGCGUAAUUCUUAAGGGUUGUGCAUGCUCUUCCAAGCUCUUAGAACAUACCAAGAUGUUAUUUAAGAAUACAACCACAAACUUAUCAAAACACACCAAAAAGACCUCGUUCAUUAAGUCCAUAAAUGCUACAACUGCAUUGAUGAGUCCAAACGACAUCACCAAAAAUUCGUAAUGUUUGUAAUGUGUGCAAAACAUUGUCUUGUGUAUAUCAAUUUCUCGAAUUCUCAAUUGGUGAUACCCCGAACAUAGGUCAAUCUUUAAAAACCACAUUGCACCCUGCAACUGGUCAAACAAGUCAUCAAUUCUUGAGAGCAGAUAUUUAUUUUUUAUGGUCACAUUAUUUAGUUACAAUAGUCGAUGCACAACCGAAGGCUAACAUCUUUCUUUUUCUCAAAUAGCACCAGAACUGCCUAAGGUAAAACACUCGAGUGAAUAAAGCCCUUGUUCCACAAAUCCUAUAAUCGUUCCUUAAGCUCUAUUAAUUCAGCUCAUGCCAUUUGAUAAAGAGGUAUAGAAAUUGGCUUCGUAUCUAGAAUCAAAUCAAUACAAAAUCCAAUCUCCCUUUCAAAAGGCAAUCUAGGUAGUUCAUCUGAAAAUACAUCCAAAUACUCACCCACUAUUGGUACAUAAUCCACACUCUUUUCAUUCAUUAAAACAUUUAUUGUCGUCACUAAAUAUCCUUGGCCUUUUGCCUUAGCAUUUGUCUAGCGGUUAUAUUCGAUGGAAUUCCUACAGACAUUGGAGUGCCAUGUCCAUAAAUCACAAAUGAAGGUUCCCUUGGAAACUUAAACUUCACAAGCUUAUAGUGGAAAUCCACUUUAGCAAAGCAUGACCCAAAAUCAAAUCAAAGUCUAAAGUUAGCAACAAUACCAAGUCUACUAACUUGUCCUUAUCCUUAAUGCGAACCACGCAGGACAUAUACACAUACUCUGCCAUAAAUAUCUUCUUUAAAAGAGUAGUCACAAUCAAUGGUUUCUCCAUAUUGCUACAAAAUCAAUCCAAUUUCAACAUAAAGUGUGGGGACAUAAAAGAAAGUGUCGAUCCAGGAUCAAAUGAUACUAAGCUUUGGUACCACAAAUAGGAAGUAUACUUGUGAUCACUCUAUUGGAAGUCUAAGCAUCUUACAAUGUUUGAGCAAACACCCACGUUUAACCGUCACUUUCAUUACUCAACAGUGUUGGUUUACCUCGAAAUGAUAAGGCUAUUCCUUUACCCUUAUCACCUUUAGCAUUUCUCCUAGUUAGUGACAUGCUAGGCGAGGUAGUUGCCACUUGUCUUACAUAUCCAUAAUCAACUUUUGUUGACUAUCUCUGCAUUGGGCAAUCUCUCAUCAAAUAUGUAGCUUGGUCACAUCGAAAGCAUAACCCAGCUGCUUUAUGGCAUGGUCCACCAUGUUACAUAAAUCUUUCCACAAUAGUUACACAAAACACCCCUUUACCUAUGGCCCAAAUUAAAUGCUCUGCUAGGCUACUCUCAACUAGAAGGUAAGCUAAAAGAAUCACUAUUCCUUGGUGGGCUACACGUAGGAGUGGUUCCUUCACGACUUUGAUUACAUAUCAAUGUUGGGCUCCUAGUCACCCUAAAAUCUCUAUGGUUUUGUUGGCAUUGUGUUCGAGCUUUUCAACCCCUACAUCUUUUCAUUCUGGAUUCCAAUUUCAUGGUUUCAAUCAUUCUAGCCACAUCCACCACUACCACAUAAGAAACGAAUCUCUAGGUGGCAAGAACUCUAAAUAAUGGCUCAAUUAGUCUCUUGAUAAAUCUUUUGAUCCUUUUUUGCUCAGUUUGGACCAAGUUAGAAGCAUAUAUAAAGAGUUUAGUAAAAUGGACAUUGUACUCCAUCACUGUCAUGUCCUGGGUCUGAACCAAUGUCUCAAACUCAUGUGCCUUAGUGUCUCUCAUGCUAUCAGGAAAAAAGUAAUUGAGAAAAUCUUGGAUAAAUUCUUCCUAUGUUAUCGGGGCUAACCUUGAUGGUUUACUUUUUUUUAAGGAGAUAAACCACAUUCUGGCAACAUCUUUUAAUCUAAAUCCCACCAAUUUCACUGAUUAAUGUGUGGAGCAUCCCAAAACAAAACAAAUACACUCCAUAUCUUCCAAAAAUCUCUAUGGAUCCUCAUCCAUAUCUGAACCAGUAAAUGACGAGAGCUUUAACUUCAUAAAAUCUACCAAAGCAACCUUGAUAGCCCCUCUUUGAUGUUCACACUGAAGCACAUAGUCCGGAUCUUAGGAACUAGAAUCAACCAAUUCCUCAGACUACGCUUGUCUUCUAUUGUGAAACUCUACAAAUUCGUUAGCCAAACUUUGCAACCUAGUUACCAAAUCCUCUAGGUGACACCUUCUCUUGUCAGGUAGUCAUCCCAACCUCCCACAUUCUCAUCACCCGUGUAUAUGAAACUAGGUUUCGCAUUUCGAGCCCAUCUAGCUACUCUACUUCUACCACAACUCUUUAAUGUGGACACUAUGGUUGUUUCAUAAGCUCAUCCUAGGCAUCUUACUUUCCCAUAACCCUUAAGGCAACUCUUGUAUUAGGCGACAUCUUGUACCAAAACGAAGCAAUACCAUGUUCAAAAUUUCAAAAUUCAUGAUCCAAAGGGUUAACUUAUUAAGACUUUGGAGUUCAUGCAACCUUCUGCUCAUAAUUCGUGUUGCAGUCAUGAACCAUGAACAAAACUCUACACCAAUCCCGACAAUCCGCUGACAGACUCUAAAUGACUUAGGACACCUUAAACUUAGAUGCACACGAACCCAACAGGCAAAGCUCGCAGGACCCAAGCAAGUCUCAAAACUUUGAAUCACAUAACACAUCUGAGGGAUUUCAUAACCAGAUAUUCAUAAAUAAAAUUUGAAUUCAAAUAUAGUACAUUUUCCCUUACGCAUAUUCAUACAUAAUAUUCCUAACGCCAUACAUUAGCUAUCAAAAUGGGCUUAUACUUAAUAACCCUUAAUACAAGUUUAAAUGGCACAUCGUCCCUACAUACACAACUAAACUAAAUACAGAGUGAAAGCUCAUGACAGACUCAAUGGCGUAGACGUAUUAGAUAUGGACUUAUCGGAUGCCAAAAUUGGUCUGUCACUAGACGACCUUUGCCAUGCAAUCUUGUGGCCUAUUUAUCUACACAUGGUACAACAAAUGGGUGAGUCAUCUAAUACUCAAAGAGAGGUGCAAAUAAAUCAAUAUAUAUAUAGUGUAAUAUCAGUGCAACCAAUUAUUUAACAAGCAUCUCCAAUAUUAAGGCAUAUCAAUCAUCCUUAAGCUGUCUCCACAAAUAACACACAUAUCAUUAGGCUUAUGCUCAAAGCCAUUCAAAGUUAUUCUCCGCGGCACACUUAAAUCACUGAAGUAUCAUAUCAAAUUUGAAUCAAACUUAUCUAAGCUUAUGUGAGGCUAUGUCACAUCAUUCAUGGUUCAAAUCAUAAUCCUUGAGUGGUCCUCUUCUGAACAACAUCAAAUCAUGCAUGAUGGCUGAUAACUCUCUGAUAUAAAGUUAUUUGGACUUAAUUUUGAUUGUAAUUUAGCUUAGUUCUUGUAGUAAUGCAUAGAAAUUAAUAAGUUUUAUUUAAAUUAUUUUAGGUUAGUUAAUUUAGGUGAGUCAAUCUAAUUUUAGUUAAUUUUAUGAUUAAUUUGGUGUUAAUGUGAUUAAGAUAAGCUAUUAGUGAUUUAUUUGUGCUUUUGUAGGUUUAAUGAAGGAAGAAUUUUAAUGGAAGAAGGAGAGCAAUUUCAAUGUGUAGACUUUCACUGCAUAAGUUUUCGUAUUUCAAUCAUAACUCUCUCUACAGAACUCCAAAUAAGAUGAUUCUUAAACCAUUGAAAAGAUAAGACAAAAAUUUACAACUUUCAUGUUUACUACUUUUCCCAAUUCGCCUGGAAGGUGGUCAAAAAUUAUGUCGAAGAUGAAGCACUGCAACAAUCCUAGUGCAAUUACAAUUUAUACUAAUUAAUUGGUCAAGGUCGUGGCCCAUGUAGUCAGAUGAGGAAAUCCUAAUUGGAAUUGACUUCUUUCUUCACCCAACUUGGCUUAACUUCAAAACCCUAUAAAAACAACCUUUCAAAGGACUUUUAGGAUAUAACGAAACACCGGAUUGAAAACUAAGAAUCAAACCGUAAAGUCACUAAAGAUGAGAAGAAUUUAAAGGAUUCAAGGAGAUUUGGAGAUCAAGAUUACAAUUCUUGGUUUUUUCUAUCUUUUUGUUAUUCUUUUAUUUUCUCGAUUUUGUUUUUAAUGUUUAAACCUUAUAUGAUGAUGAUGUGUGCCUUGAUGGGGAACUAAUUCAUUUAUCUAAGAUUAUAAUUGAAUUCAAUACGUAGUCUGAUUUAUUUAUCUGUCUUUUGCUUAUGUUUUAUGGAUUUAAGUUGUUUAUUUUAUUCUGUUUUUAAUGCUUCUAGUUGAUUGGCCACCAAUUAGAUAGAAUUAGAAACCUAAGUUAAACCUUGACAAAGGAGAUUUAGGUAGAUCUUGAAUGAAAUAGUAUAUGAUCAAAUACACUUAAUUGAUUGGGUGAUUUGAUUUGCAUUUAGGGUAGACAUACACCUAUAAGCCAUACGUAGCUAAAAUUAGAGCACGAACUUAAUGAAUUUGUCUUUAAUGUAAGUUGCAUAGACAUAUAGUAAAUUAAUUGGGAGAGAUAUUUUUAUGAGAAACUCGACAUAGACUUGUAAAUAAUUUAAGAUUUUAGGUUAGUUACUUAAUCCAUUAAACUAAGUUAAGAAAGAGAGAUAAUAUUUAUAUGAAGUAUUGAGAGACAUCAUAACCUUAGGUUUAAAAGUCAAUCAAAUUUAAUAAAAUAAUUUUGUUAGUUAAUUUAGAUUAGUUUUAGUUUUUAAUUUUUUUUAAUUUAAUUUUUAAUUUUUUGGAUAAAAUUACGAUGUUAUAAUUUUGUAGUUAACAAUAGGAAUUAAAACAAUUCUUUGUGGGAACAAUACUAUACUUUAUCAUUAUAUUACUUGUUAAUGAUACGUGCACUUGCGUGAGAAAUCAACGACAAGGUGGCCAACUGGCGGAGUCAAAUUACACUUAGGGCAAAGCCACUAGUAAAGAAUCAAAUCACGAGCGUGCCGAAGCAACAAGCGAAGAAUCAACGUCAUCAUCCGAAGUAAUCUCCUAACAGAGGUGUGAUACCCAACAUCCCACAUCUGAUGUAAAUGUGAUUGUUAAGACCUAUAUAACAAUCCAAGCCCACCACUACUAGCAACUUGAGCUUAAGUUUUUGAGGGCCACGUAAUUUAGGCCCAAAAAGUUGUUGGGCUAGUGGUUGGGUUUGGGUCGUUACAAAUGGUAUCAGAGCCUGCGCCAGUCUGAUGUGAGCUUUCACAUUGCUCUGGUGAGAUCUUGGUCCUGUGGAUGUGAUGUAUGGCCUUGAUGAGGACAUCAAGGAUUUGAGUGGGUGGGAUUGUGAUACCCAACAUCUCACAUCUGAUGUGAAUGUGAUUGUUAAUACCUAUAUAACAAUUCAAGCCCACCACUACUAGCAACUUGAGCUUAAGCUUUUGAGGGUCACGUGAUUUAGACCCAAAAAGUUGUUGGGCCAGUGGUUGGGCUUGGGUCGUUACAAGAGGACAUCACCCAGUGUAUUCUCAAAUGGGUGGCAUCAAAGCACUGCAAGUGAGAAUCACAAACAAGACUAAUAUUGCCAUCCUUAUAGGAACAUAACAAAGUCACAAGGAAUAAGACUAUACUCAUACUCAACCUCAAAUCAAAUCAACAUCCUCAAUUCAUCCAUUGGAUGAAAUACAUAUCCACCAACGAGGCUAUCAUGCCUUCAUCAUUCUAUUUGUACACAUCAAAUCAUAAAUCACAUUUAACGAGUUUAAAAUUGUUUAUAAGCUCUAUAUGGUUCUGAGUCCCUCUAAGUCUCUAAGGCAUCAACUACUCAAAUUCUCUAAAGAUCAUUCGUCCAAGAUAAUCUAUUCCUAGAUGUUCAUCAUAUCCUUUAGACUCUCUAGUCCAGGCUCACACAACAUAAGUCACUAGGUGGCUUGCACUAAGGCACCAACGCAGCACAUAGUCACAUACAUUUUUGUUCUCUAGCCUAGGCACAUUCGUUUAGGCAAUUAUAUACAUACAUACAUAUAUAUAUAUAUAUAUAUAUAUAUAUAUAUAUAUUAUAUANNNNNNNNNNNNNNNNNNNNNNNNNNNNNNNNNAUAUAUAUAUAUUAUAUAUAUAUAUAUAUAUAUAUAUAUAUAUAUAUAUUUAUAAUCUAGUACCAUAGCAGCACUUUUAAUAAAACAUUAUGCAUCAUAUGCAUUUUAAAUUAACCUACUCACAAUGACAAAUCGAUUGCACUUCCACCAUCAAACUUCAACCUUCAAUCGUCCUUUAGCUCACCAACGAGUCAAAUAGCUCAAUUUCCCUCUUAGAACACAUAAAACAUCAAAAUAUUAAUUAUUUCCUAACUUCCAAAAAUAUCCAGCUUUUCCAAAAAUAACUAAAUUCUUAACAAUCCAACAUACAAGAUCAAAUCCUUUAAUAAUGAGCUAAACCCAUACCUUAGAAGCUGGAUUGCAUAAAUCUAAGCUCUAAAUUCCAGCAAAUCAUGGGGGAUUCCACCAAAGCUAGAAAAAUCAAUUUCUUGAUUAUUAACCGAUUAAAUUGAAAAUCAAUUGGUAAAAACAUUUAAUCUUACCUCUAGAGGUGUUUCCCAAGCUCCAAUCUGCUUCAAAUGGGUCCAAAAAUUGGUUUGGGGCUUAGGGUUUUGGAGUGGUAAAGAGAUAAAGGGGUUAGGUUUUUGUUUAAAAUGGACAAAUAGCUCGAGACUCCUUUUUAUUUUUUCUUGUCCCUAGUUAUGUAUCGAUGCAUUUGGGAAUGUAUCGAUACAUUUUCACAAGUUUCAACCAAAUCUAUCGAUACAUUAGGGCAAUGUAUCGAUAGAUUUCAGGCAGAAUUUCCACUACCUUGGAUGUAUCGAUAUGUGGGGGAAUCUAUCGAUACUUUGCCCACCUAGUUGCUAUUUGUUUCACAUCUGUCAAUAUAUUUGGACAAUACAUCGAUAAAUGUUCAUCUUUGUUCAAAUCCAUAAUACAUUUUUGAAUGUAUCGAUAGAAAAAUCCCCUGCACGCCUUACAUUGUUCACCCUGCCAAGAUUUUAACGAUACAUUUUCCCUUAAAAGCAUAUUUUUAACCUUUCAAACUUCCAAAAAUUCAAAUCAAACACUCCAAGUCAUUACCCUGCUUAAUUCACACUUCAAUUGAUUCAAAUAACUUGAAUCCAUACACCUAUAUCCUUAAACAUCACAUAAAUCUUAAAUCAAGACUUCAAACUAUAGGAUAAAUCACAUAUUUCCAUGAAAAUUUACCUAAGUGUCAAAAUACAUACUCCCAUACAGUUGGCAUAUUUAGCAUAUCAUUUAAGUCCUCAAAGUGCAAUAUAUUUCAUAAAUCAUUCUCAAUUGACUUAGUUCAUAUCGAAAAUCAAGGGUGUUACAUUUAUAAACACUUAACCUAGAGUAGGAACGGUAACAUGAGUUAGGGGUAAUUUCGUUCUCUCUUUGCUGAGUGUUACUAAAUAUUUGGUAAUCAAAUAUUCAAGGUCUAUGCUUCAGAAGACUAUUUUAAAGUCCAUGAAAUAGAUUUGAAGACCAAGUGGUUAAUUACCCCUAGAUAAGACAAAUAAGAUAGUAAAGCAUUCUAGUUAUUUACCCCUAAAUAAUAAAAAAAAAUUAUUUUCCCCUUAAUAACACAAAAGCAUCUUCACUUUUUCAAAGACACAAUAGCCAUGUGUCCUUGAGAAGCUUUGCGCUUUUCUUUUAUUUCUUAAUGGCUAACCAUUACUCUCUAAUGACAUUUUCUCCCUUGUUUCUUUUCUUCAACCCAAGACCACAUUUCCUCCUUCAAGAAAGCCACAAUUUUCUUUCUUUUUCUUGGUCCUUUAAUUUCCUACUUUAAACCUUCAUUCUUCCUUCUUACUCACCAAACCAAUAGCUCCCAACCGCAUUUAUAUCCUUGCUAUUUGAACAUAAAAAAAGAGAAAAUAAAUUUUCUCUUCCUCCUUGUUUUUCUCUACACUACCACUUUCAAAUUUACCAAGAUUGAAAACUUUAAACCCUUCAAUUUUAAGCAAGAAAAGAUGAGAUUUCAGCCUAUAUAAACUCAAAAUUUCAUGGUUUUAUUUUUCAACAAUUAAUCUCUAAUUUUUCAAAUUAUCUUUUUCUUGAACAUAUUAGGUUUUGUUGAGUUUUACACCUCUAAGCUCAUCAAGGUAAGAAAAUCUUAAAUUUGAGUAGUUAGUUUAAUGGGUUUGUGAAUUAGAAUAGAAUUAUAGGUCAAAUGUUAGAUUAGAAUGUAAUUUAGAUAGUAUAUAUUUAUUAGAAUUAUUCAUUUCAAAUUUUUAUGAUAUGUUUGAGGUUAUUAUUAUUUAUUGGUAAUUAUAGGUUUUAUUGGAACUUCAAGACUCAACUUGGACUAAGGUCUUAGUGGUGUUGGUUUUGUAAGGUGGCAUCAAAAGGGUGAGUGGACUUGCAUUCAAACCAUUUUGUUAGAAAAUGCGUGAAAAGUUUUUGAAAUACUGUACCUAUAUAUGUUUUGGGAUGCUUUUAUUAAUAUGUUGAUAAGCACAUAAGUUUAUAUAUGUAUGUAAGAGUAUAUGAAAUACAUGUACAUAUCUAUUAUACGAACUUGCAUGGGAACAAGCAUUUAAAAUGUGUAAAUUGUCAAUGUGAUUAUAUUGUUAGUUUUAUGAGUUAUGAAUUUUAAAUAAAUGUGCUAGACUUUUAAUAUGAUGAUAAUGUUAGUUUUGUAAGUGUUGGUUUUAAAGGAAUGUGCUAAAUUUCCAUGCGUUGAAAAAAAUGAUUGGUUUUAUGUGAGACUCCAAGUGUUGAGGAUUUAAAGAAAUACAAAUGUUUUGAUUUCAAUGGACACAUGUUAGGAAUCCUAGAUAUUGAUGAAUUUACGAAAUGAUGGCUUAUUGUGUUGGUGCUAAAAUGGGUAUUUGGAAUGGUAUAGUGGUGAGGCCAUGAUUUCGUGAUAUUAUACUAUGAACAAAAAGGGUAAAGGAUUUUUUAAUGGUUUAGACAUGAAAAUGUUUUUCAGAUGAGCCCUUAAGUUAAAACCUAAACUAGUGGCAGUCUAUUUUGCAGAAUAAGGGCACCUCAACUAACAGAGGGAACGAAAUGGUGCUAGCCUUAUAGUUGAGAAUGGCACAAGCGAUGUUAUGAGGUAACUAACUAUAAGUAGUGGAUCAUUGUUAUGUAUACACAUGUAAGGGUGAUGAAAUACCAUUAUCACUACACUAAUGUUACUUAUGAAGCUACAUCCAAUGAUAUGUUUUUAAAUGUUGAGUUCAAGAGUUGUAAUGACCAUAUUCAAUUGACAGAUUGAGUUCUAAAAUAUGUUUGCCAAGCUAGUUUAUAUGACCUCCUGAUAUAUGAAAAGUAUUAAAAGUAUAAGCUCUUAUAUGUAGAUUGAAUAUGCCUUCGGGGAAAAUGGCUAAUUGUUUCAAAAUGAUUUGAGAAUUGAGACUGCAUUCAUAGUUUUGGUUCCAAAAACAAAUUGCAUGGUUUUGAAGGAAAAAUGGCAUAGAUUUAUAAAAUAUUUCUCCAUUAAUAUGCUUGUUCCCCUCUAAUGUCCAUCACUGAGUUUUAUGCUCGCCUUUUCAACUUCAUGUUUUGGUUUUCAAAUCCAAAUAUAGCUAAGCAGCAGUUGAGCAAUCCUACGCUUAUCCAUUGUUGUGGUAGGUAUUACUAUGGCAUUUGCUAGGCUCCACCAGCCCCGUGUCACUCACCUAUCGUGUCAUGUUUUAUUUUGUACUUAAUAGGAGUCUAUUAGUGUUGAUAUAGCCACUAAAUGGCAACUUGUCAAAUAUUUAUGAUGGAGAAUGUACAAAGAUAAUGUUAGCACUUAAUGUUAUAAUAUUGAGUUAAGGCACAUUCCCGAUAUGUUACAUGUUAGGAUAUUAAUGAGAUAUAUAAAUAUGAUAAAAUAUUGCUAGAUGAGAUGUGUGUGAACCUAUAUAAUACAGGUAUGACGAUAAGGCUUGUUUGAUCUUAGUGGGCUUUGCCUAUUGGGCCUUUACGCUAGUUACGGCCCGAGAUUGGACCAUGAUAGUUUAAGAAUAAGAAAAAUUUACCAAUGGAGUCGACCCUUUGUUGGUAUUGCCAUAUUAUGUAGAUUUAACGUAAUAAUAUUCUUUAUGGGAUUUUCUUAUGUCACUUUAGAAAAGUUGAUAAUGCAGUUGUAGGAAAACACCAUAGUUGAUUGAUAUCAAGUCUCAUAGUUGACACAAUGUUUAAAAUUUAUUAAUUAAACUUAAAUGCAUUUAAAUAAAAAUGUAAUGAAAAAUUUUUUAAAAGAUUAAACUAAAAAUUAUCACACUAUUUAAAAAUUUUAAAAUAAAAGGGAAAAAACCAAAUUAUUAUAAACCUAAAAUGGUCCAACCAAUUUGAAAAAAAAAAAACAAAGGGCAUAAUACCUAAAUAUGUCAUUAAACUAUUCAAAUAAGUCUUUAUUCUUUUAUUGUAUUCAAUUAAACUCUUAUAUUUUUAUUUUAAACCAAAUAAGUCCUUCAAACUAAUAGUUAAUUAAUUGGUGUUAUUCAAAAUGUUAUUUGUUAUUUUUAUGCCACAUAACAUGCUGACAUAUCACGAUGAAUGAUAACAUGACAUGUUAAUGUAACAUAAUAACAUGAUCAUGUAUCAUUUUUCACCUUUUACGUCAUAAUCAUGUCAACGCCACAUGGAUAUAAAUGGAAAUAUGAUAUUUUGACUAAUAAUAAUUAAUCAAUUGUUAAUCAUAAAAAUCUUUUUGAUUUAAAAUAAAAGUAAAGAGAUUUAAUUAAAUACAAUAAAAGAAUAAAUGUUUAAUUGAUUUUUUUUAAAUAGUUCAGUGACUUUUUAAAACAUUAUGCCAAAAAAGAAAAAAACUUGUCAUAUGUGGAUAGAGUUCCAAUUUUAUAUUAAUUUUUUUACGGCUAUAUACAGUGCACUACUUGAUUAAUUAUAUUAGUGAGAGCUUGUUUUGGAUGACUAGAUUAAUAUAAUGUCUACUUCUAAAUGUACUCAAAAUAAAAGAAAAAAUUGUUGCAAAUAGACACCUUAAUAAUAUGAUUACGAUUUAAUCAUGGUAGUACUUUCGCAGUUGAUUUAAUGUAAAUUCUACUAAAAAAGUAGAGAUCGAAUCCCUUUUCUAAAAAAAAAAAAACUUAAACCAAGAUGUAAUGUUAUAAAUAACAGAAUUUAGAACAAUAACCCUAAAAUGAACCAUCAUGUUUUGUUAAUAAGUAGAACCACUUGAUGUAUAAGCACGUAAUUAUAGCCUAAAUAUGUAAGUAUAAGGGCAAAACUUUAUUUGAAAAACGAAAGGCAAAAACUUAAAUUAGAUAACAUUAAACCUAUCCACGAGUCGAGUUACCUACCAAGCAUUAAGGCUUGGCUCGACUUGUGUUGAGUCUUGAGUAUGAUUUUUUAAGUUUGGUAUCGACUUGAUCUAAUUCGGAAUAUUAGUAUAUUAAUAAAUAAUUAUUUUUAUUUAAUUUUAAUUUUAAAAUAUAUCUUAAAAAUUAAUUUAAAAAUACUUUUAUAUAAUUUAAUAAACAGAUUGAGCUCGAACCCAAGUUUAAGUUUUAAAAGUGUUAAUUGAGUCAAACUCGAUUCAUGAACACCUCUAAUUAAGAUGAAGUUUGUGGAAAGUUUUCUAUUACAAUAUAUUAUAAACUAAAAUUGAAAAUCAAAAAAUAUAUCAAUAAUAUAUAAAGAAUAUUAAAAUAGCAUUCAAGCUAUACAAAAAAAAAAUUAAUAUUGAAAUAGUAUACAAGCUAUACAAAAAAAUUACUCAGUAACUAUUGAAUGUUGAAAAUUUAUCUGAAUUUUUAAAUCAUAAUGCCUAUUUAGACGAAGUAUUUGAACUCAAACUAAAAUUGUUCAAACUUUUGCAUAAUGAUAGAACAAGAUAACAAGCUCCACCAAUUCAUUGGUUUUACUUUUUUUAAUCAUUUUUAAUAGAAAAUUUUACAAACCUCGUGUAGGAAUAAAAUGUAUGUCUAUAUAUUAAUUACUCCCUCCAUCUCUUUUUGUUUUUCUUUUUUCUUAUCACGAAAAUCAAGAAUUCUUUUUAAUUUCUAUAAAAAUUAAGAAAAAAAUGUUGAAUUUAGUAUAUUAUAUAUUAUUAAAAUUUUAAACUUUUUAUAAUAUUUAUAGUUGAUACUUUUCAAUACCAAAAAAUAAAAUAAAAAAAUUAAAUUACAUUUUAAGUUUUCCAAAAAAGAUGCUAUAAUCUUAAGAUAUAUAGUUAAGUUUAAAUCUCUUUUUCCUAAAAAAGAAAAAGAAAAAAUCAUAUCUUAUAAAACAAAAAAAAAGUGUGAUACCCUUCUUAAUAAAUAAAGGUGUUUCUACUAAAAAAACAC